Molecule: long non-coding RNA, 46180 nt
Filed under: Populus tremula
Lineage: Eukaryota; Viridiplantae; Streptophyta; Magnoliopsida; Malpighiales; Salicaceae
Description: long non-coding RNA (PTRE_LNC001857)
Source: RNAcentral
CCUCCUAAAAAUCUAAAACUUCCUUACGCUUAGGCCCAAUAUGCUUUAAGGUCAUAUCUCCCUUCCCUUUAGGCUCCCCUUUCCAACAAUAAAUGUCGGGUUAUAUAAGCACCGAUUUUGAGUUUUAAGAAUAGAUAGAAAGCUAGACUGCCCACAGUUUAUACGAAAACAAGGAAAAGAGCUAGCUUGCCCAGGCCACACAUGAAAUGGAUAUGACAUGGCAAUGCGCAAACGGCCCAUCCAUUUCCUGAGCUCAACAUUACAAGUCAAUGAAGAAACGACGUGAAGAAAUUAGCAAAGUUAUGUCUUUUAUAAGAAGGAAUUGGCAAAGUUAAAUGUCCACAAAAGUUGUGAUUUUUAAUCCUAAUCUUGUGAGUUGUUAAUCCUCGAGCAGCAGGUGUUGAAUUGGCACUGAAAAAACAGGCUCUCCAACCCUAAAUGGAGUUUUAGAUGACACAUAUUAUUGCUAGACUGCGAGUCUAUGGAUAUAGACAUGACGACAAUGUUUCGCAUCAUCGCGAAAUUUGAGGAGGAUAACUUGGACGGACAACUGUGAAAUCGAUAAAAGCACAUAUCAACUUCGAAAAGCCUCGAUUCUACUCGCAUAUUAUUAUUAUAAUAACUUCAAAACUAUUGGUGGCUUCACUUUCGUUAUCAAAGGGUAAAUAAAUUGUUUUUGUUUACUUAAUUCAAGAGGAAAAGGUCUGUUUUUUCUCAAAUCUCAGAAGAAAUUCGAGAUUUGAGUCUAAACUUCUAGCCAAAAAUUGCACGAGAGAAGAAAGAAGAGAAGGGAUGUUCGCCUACCUAGCCUACUCCUUCCUCUAAAAUAUUUUAUCAAUGGAGGAAUAAUAUCAUUUUUUUUAAUUAGAAAAAAAAACGAUUUUGAUCUAGGAUGUGAUAACUUUAAUUCAUCGAAGGAAAACCCCAACCUUAUCUAGUGUUCAGAAAUGACUCCACAUGCAGAGACUAGUCACUUGAACAUUCAAUCGAGAGAAAACCCACAAGCUCCACAAGAAUGCUAGUCACUUCUGUCCCUCGAUCUUAAAAUCGGCCUCUUCGACUCAGCCUCUCUCUUUUUAGCGCACCAAUUUAUUAACCCUAUUUAUUGAGCAUCCGUACCCUCCCUGUUACAGCAAUUGAGAUAAAAUUAAGAACAAUCCAAUAAAGUUACUAAAAAAAAAAAGUGGAAUAUCAAUGAAAGAGAGCUAAAGAUCUGGUGUUGCUCACGCCUCCGAUAGUGCGGAUUGGGAGACACUCCUUUUAAUUAGGGGAAAGGGAGUGUGUUGUGAAAGAGGAGAUGACACCAUGUACUCGAAAGGUCUUUAAAGGGUCCUAAGCGGAUUAGCAAAGGGACAAAUUUCCCUGAGGAACCUGACACAACAGUUCAAGCCUGUAGUCGGCCAUCAAGUAUGGUAUGGACCCAUGUAGACACCUAACCAUGCUACACGGCUCCCUCUUUUUCUCCAAAUCUUUUCUCCUUUUUCUUCCAUUUUGUAAAUAUACUUUUGGCCUUGAUGUCUCAUGAGUACAGGUUCACUCAAGACACUCUUCCUAGAGACCCGUUCAAUCCACGGGUCUCUCGGUACAAAUUUAAUGCGCAGACUAUUUGGUAGGGCAAUUAAUUAAUUUUACUUGGUCUUGUACAUUAAUUAGUCAUCGCAUGUUAUUAAUUUCCAAAAAAAAAAACACAAUAAACAGAACACAACCCAAUAUAGGUCAAUGUAAAAGCACAUGCCGGCCCAGCAUUUACUUCCCCAUGUUUCCACAUUUCCUCCUUGUUCGAAUUUUGUUUAGCACUUCAUCCAUGCAUUUCCUUUGCAAACAAGCCACCUCCAAUACCACCAUCAUACCGAACUCACUAUUUAUUACCGGUUUGUGUGUGUGUGUGUGUGUCUGUGUGUGUGUCUGUGUCUGUAUAUACAUAUCCUAUGCAUGAGUUUUUGUAGCUAUCAGUCAUUUCCUUUGUAAACCUUCUGGCUUACUACACCCUCCCUCUCCUGUCGGACUCUCUCUCUCUCUCUCUCUCUCUCUCCCCCUCCCUCCUUAUACAGUCUUCGUUUGUUUUUGGGUUGCUUAUAUGGGGAGGAGUCAUCUGGUUCUAGUUCUAUGGUUACUCUUGCUCGCACCAUUUGUUAGUCAUACUUAUGGCUCGAGGCAGACUAAGAUUUUCAAGAUGAUUGAACCGAAUUCUCAGAAUUCUUCACCGGGUACUUUCUCGGGGUUCUUCCCGAAGGGAAUGCCGAUCCCCCCAUCUGGUCCUUCGAAGAAGCACAAUGACAUCGGUUUGCGAAGUUCCGAGCCAUUGCCAUGAAUAAGAGUCCACGACUCGAGUGAUUAAUUACUUGUGUCUUUCAAUUGUUUCACCACUCAUAGAAGCAGGGUAUGUGUAUCACUAGAUGGGGACUGGCUAUUAGGUUAUUUGUUCAACUUCUUGGCAUUUCUCUUCUUUUUGCUCCAUCUCAUGAGAGAACUUUUUAUUUUUGUUAAAGAUCUCAUGAUCAUGAGGAAGCAAAGGUUAGUUACUCAAGCUUACAGAGAAACAUCGUCUAGUAUGGACUUUCCUUCUCUUGAAGGAUAUUCUAAGAUAGUUUUAGCAUUUGCUUAUCUCGUUCCUGGUUGGAAUAGAAUGACAGAGACAAAACUGAAAGGAAAAUAUUUUUUUUGUAAACACAUCUAUAAAUAUUUGUAACAAACUUGCAGUAUUCUUUUCGUCCUGCCUGCCUGCCUAUAUAGUUUCUUAUCUCGCCAAGUCUAGAAUUGCUGAGGCAUUCUUGGAUUUUAGACCUUUUUGAAUUUCAUUAUUUUGUUACUUCAUCAUUCGUGACAUGUAAUUGUUCUUCCGAUAUACAUGAUCCAACCCUUUUUACAAAGUCGAUGCUGCUGUUAUUCUACUCGUACUGCAUAAUUAAUGGGCUCGGCGGAUUCUCAUGAUUAAUCUCUUAGCUUUGCUGACCUGAACUGUGAAUGCGUGCAAGAAAUAAACAGUUGAUCAAAGUGACCUUACACACUCAUGAGCUAUGCAAAGGAGGGACAAUGGCGGUACCAUGUUCCUUUCCUUUUGAUUGAUCUGAUAUAACAUUUAGUACUCGAUUGGGUGUUGGUGGUGGUAUUUAUGGUUGUUUUUUAUAAAAUUUUAUUUUUAAAAAAUUAAUAUAUUUUAGUAUUUUUAGUUAAUAUUAAAAUAAAUUUUAAAAAAUAAAAAAAUAUUAUUUAAAUAUAAGUUAUACCAUAACGCCAUGGUUUAUAUUUGUAAGGUAUGGUGGUGAUUAAACGACCAGUAUCUCAACCUCCACCAUGCAUAUUUCACUGCAUAAGCUUUUAGCUUUAUCUCAAGGCCGGCUGCUAGUGGUACGGCUGCUAGGUAGACAUGAAGCUACAAGCAAAGACUUUGAAGUAAGUAACGUUGUUACAGUGAUGACGGAAGCGACACCAUAGGAUGUACAAAGGUCUGCUCUGAGCAUUUAUGAUACUCGUUCAGUGCUGGAACCCACACGUAACUUUAUAGGUGUUUUAUAAUUCUUCUCACAGUUUAAAAAAAAGUUUCGAGAUAAAUCAUACGUUUUAGAAAAGUAUUUGUAAAAUAUAAUAGUUUAAAUACAAAUGCUAUUCAUUUAUAUAAAAAAAAAUUAUUCAAAUUUUCAUGAAAAGUUUUAAAAAUAAAAUUUAAAUUUAAUAGCAAAAAAAAAAAUAGAUCGCCAAGAAUAUAUUAUAACUUUGUUUUUGACAUACCUAACACUUUAAGAUACAAUUCUAACCAAAAAAAUUUUAAAAACAUAAUUUUAAUUUAUUAGAGGUUUUGUUCAUAAUUAAUAUAGAAUUAAUUAUAAUCUUAUUUAAUAGUUUUUAAAAUAUAAUUAAAAUUAUCAUCAAAUAUAUCAAAAGUAAAUUCUCGUUAUUCACAAUGAUAUAUAUAUAUAUAUAUAUAUAUAUAUAUAUAUAUAUAUAUAUAUAUUAUUAUUACUAAUGAUUUAUUUUUUCUUACUUUAUUUCUCUUUAGGACCACAUUACUUUACCUUCUUAUCUCCUUAUCCAUAUUAAAUCUUAUCUUUUAAUCAUUAAUUUUUUAUAAAAUUUUAAAUUAACUUUUGAUGAAAUUAAUUUAUUUUUUUUAAAAAAAAAAAAAAAACAUCACGAUACAAACACUUCAACCAAUUCUCAAUAGCGAUUCUACACCAUUAAUAUUGGAAAUUAUGCUCACACUAUUAUUUUUUAAAUAUUUUUUUAAUCUAUAUUAUUCUCUCACAAUUUUUAACAAUUUACGUUAUUUUCCAAAAAAAUAAAAAAUCCUAACUAUUCAAAAGGUUUUCCGCAGUACCCGACGAUUCUACGAACUUCGAUCCCAGACGAUAUUGUUACAACCAUGUGAGAUCAGGCUAGGAUGCGAGAUGUAGUCAAGACAAUAGAUCCAGAAAUUGAAAGUACAAAAUGGUUGCUACAUCCAGGGUGAUACAGGAAAGGAAGUAAUAUUACUUGAUUGAUUAUUUUAACUACCAAAUGCUCAGUAUUUCAUGGCCAAAUCCAUAGUUUUAAAACCUAAUCUGACCUCAACCUGAAACUCAGGACUGAAACUGAACCCAGGUUUAUAAAAAAAUAAAUAUAAUUAAAAACUUGAUUGACCUGGUAAGUUUACCAGUGACCCGAUCAAAACUCAUGUCACUGAUCAAAACUCAUAACCCAAGCUUUGAACGAGAUCAGCCACUGGGACCGGUUUAAAAAUCACUGGCCAAAACCACACAAUUUGAAACCGUUGUACGGCGCAGCCACAGCUGAUUGGCAUUUGCUGUGUUGUCUAUGAUCUGAUUUAAACUUGUCUAAAACAAUGAAAUGGCAGGUCAAGGUAUUCGGGGAAAAUCCUGCAAAUAAACCUUCCCAUAACAAAGAGGAUUGAUAUAAAAGGGACCCAAAAACUCAGUAUGGAUGGCUGGAAAGCCAGGAACAAAAACUUUCUUGCCUGGAUUGUCGCAAUUGAUGCUUUUUAUAUACACUACAAUACAAUAGAUAUAAAAGGGUUAGAUACCCCAGCAGAAUUAAAUGGAAGAAAUAAAUUGAGGAGGGGAUGAGAGGAGGAGAACAUCAAUCAAAAGAAAAGAGGACAGAGAGAGGGCUAUUGGCUUUCCUUCAUCUUUGCUUAACCUUAAAACCGUUUGUUUUCGAAGGUGCAAGAUGUGCUAACAGACUCCCCCUCCAGCAUUCUGUUGCUAAGGUAGAGAAGCAGAGGACAUGCCUCCCUCUGAUCUGCGAGCUGCCUGGCCACUAACUGAUGAUUUGUCUGAACCUCUAACAUUGUACUUCUCAUACACUUUUUCACGAUUCUCCGACCACCAAGUUUCUGCUUGGUGCUCCCCAAAUCUUCUCCGACUGCAGAUAAAUUAAUAGGGACAGACAUAAAUGAAACGAUUAAGAGAUCAAAUCAGCUCUGAUUAAGAUGAUUUCAAACCUUUGCAAGGUGAAACGUUGAUGUAAUACUAUCAAAGCUCAUGUUCAGAAUGAUCUAUGAUUGUUUAUAAAAAUGCAAUCUUGAAUUAUAAAAAAAGCCUAUCAGCAACGUCAUGUUAACCAAUUGUUUAGAUUUCUUCUAGCUCUAUGCCAUACAAAAUGAGUGAGUCAUUAAUAUCUAAAAUAAAAUGAAAUAAAGUACCUGAAGCGCACUCGUUUGAGAUCUCUAGUUCCGUCGCGCAGGGAAACAAGAGUGAUAUACACUCCAGGCUCAUACUGUUCAAUCCACUCAGCCUCAACAUGAUUACCAUUAGCAACCGAUGAUGAAUCCCUCGAUUUCAUACUAUUCUCGCCAUCUUGAGGAGACCGAGGUUCCUUCCUGGCAACAGCAUCUGACACAGUAUUACAACUUGGCUGAUCCCCUCCACCAUUGGACAGUCUCACAUCUGGAUGGUCAUCCCUCCCAUUGGCUCCAGGUGAAUCCCGGACUGACUGAGUGAUACCUAGAGUUCCAUUUAUUGAAAUUGAGUCGAUCCUUGUCGGGGAAGCCAAGGAAGUUCCACUGAUAGAAUCAGAUCUUGAAUGCCGUUCUCCAUUUGCAUCAGGAAAAUGAAUGCCAUUUGUCUCCAAACCAUUUGCUAUGUAAGCUGGUCUCAGGCUCUCAGUGUCAUAGACCCCAGGCGGCAGCCUCUCAGCCAUAUCCUUGAGCUGGAAUUGAUAAGUGUAGAAAUCAUUAGUACAAAACAAGAGUAAGUCAAGAAAAAGAGAGGAAAAUUUCUAACAAUAUAAAAGACAAGGAUAUUCUCUAAUGGCUAUAAUGGGAAUGUUAGCUACCUAAAUUAACGGCAACCAGUGUUUCAUUCCUUCAGAAAUCUAUUCUAUCAAAUUCAUAUAGAUUUGAUGGGGUGGAUGCAUAUCGUGACAUACAUCAUAAUCAUGGUACAGAGGAGAUCAAACAAAAAUUUCCAAAAUUCAUUAACACGGAACCAAUGAUCAGUGGGCAAAAGCAGACUUACCUGUGCAGUAAGUGACUUUAUAACAUCUUUUGCAGCUUUGGACUUAGCUGAUUCGUCGGCGGCUACUGCCAUAGCUUCUUGUACCUUCUUAGCAGAUUUCUGGAGCUCUGAUUCUUGGAAUUCACAUCUCUGUCUUAGGCUCUCAACCUAAACAAGAUCAAUACGCAUGAAUGAUCAAACCCGGCCCAAAACAUAAAAACCUGACUUAAUUCAUACAGAAACAUGUGAUUAAUUUUUGCGGAAAACUCAGCCAGCAUACCUGUGUACGCAGCUUAAGCACUUCUUGAUUCAAAAGUUCGUUUGUUUUCUUCAAACUAUCAGCUAUACUUUUGGAAAAGGAAAGUCCUGACGUUGUUGGGACAGGCGUUGCAGAACGUGGGGGGCUAGGUCUCCUUGAGAAGGGCGACACGGAUCUGGAACUUACUCCAGAUGGUGUAAGAACAGGUUUGGGAACCUUUGGUCGCAGAUCAAUAGUGGUAGACAAAACAACAUCUUUCAGCUGCAACAAAGAAGGUGCUUGAGAAGACCGAACAAGAGAAAACGUAUCAGCUUUCUUUCCUUGUUUGGCUGCUUUGCUAUCUAAUUGCUUAAUCAAAUCCAAAUUUGAAGGCGUUGUUAACUUCGACAACCUUAAAUCAGCCUUGUCCAGCCUGUCCUUGUUUUCACCUGAAAGGCGAGGUCCAGCAUUUCUUCUGUUGGUGUUACUAGCAUCCGACACCUUAUUUAGUUUGGUAAAACAGGAAUCACAGACACGAUAUGGUUUGCUGGGAUUAGGAGCUAAGGCUGCUCUUGUUGCUUUUCUGGAACUGCAUGAAUGGCAGUGAACAAGUCCACAGUUAUAGCAGUUAUGCCUUUUACGUGUGAACCCAAAAGCCUGUCUGCAGGAUGAACAUUGAGAUUGCUCAGAACCAGAUACCCAUUUAUGGAGGCAUAUAGCUGCAGAAUAGUUUGCACCGCAUGCAAUAUAUUUCACAUGUUUAUCCUUCAAAGCUUCAACUAGAGUAGGUGUUUUUCGAUCUUCACCAUCUCCAUGACCCAACCUGCCAUUGGCACCCUUUCCCCAGGUAUAAACCUCAUUUCUGGAUGUCAAAACCGCUACAUGAUAUGCACCACAAGCAAUUUCUUCAACAGAUUCUCCAGAAAGCUUAUCUUCUACCAAGCAGGGUACCUUUCCAUCAGCAUAAGGAUUUCCAAGUUGACCAUAAACAGUACUGCCCAUUGUGAAUACAUCUCCCGAUGUGGUCAAGCCAACAGUUAAACUAUGUCCACAAGCAAUUUUGUGAAAAUUGUAAUCAAUUAAUGCUGGCACACAUGUGGGUUUAAGCUUAGGUUCUUUGUCUCCAUGUCCAAGACGAUUUUUGUCUCCAUCGCCCCAGGUAAAUAAUUUUCCAGAUGACACACUGGAACUUGAAUGUGUGACAAUAACCUCCACCACAGCAGCGGUAUGCCACACACCACAAGCAACAGCAAUAGUCCUCAACCCAGCGAGUGAUUCAACUUCUCUAGGAUAGGCAAUAUUUUCUUUGUUUCCAUGUCCCAAGACACCAAACGUUCCAUCACCAAAUGUAAAAAGCUGCCCUGUUGACGUCACCAAGGCUGUAUGCCACGGACCACAUGUUACAGAAGCAACUUGAAGACCCUCAAGAGGACCAGAGAUUCUCUUGGGUAUCCAGUGACUAAUAUCAGUGCCAUGACCAAGAAGCCCCGCAUAGUGCAUCCCAUCUCCCCAUGUAUAGAUUUCCCCAGCCAUUGUAACAGCACAAGUAUGGAAUUCUCCACAUGCUAUAAAGUCAACAGUAGUCAUUGCCAAAGACUCAACCAGGCGAGGUUGAAUAACAUCUUUCCCAACGCCAUGGCCAAGCCUUCCACCAGAUUCUUCACCCCAUGUAAAAACUUCACCCUGCCUUGUGACCAUUGCAGCAUGUCUGAAUCCACAGGCAAUAUGAUGUACAUCUAAAACUACAUUAGAUUCUAAGGGCCUGGGAAGAAGCACAUCAGCUCUAGUGCUCAAAUAUGUGGCAUUCUUAUCAGCCCCGACCUUGACAGCAUUAUCACAUAUAAUCUCACCCCAUACGUAUACAUCACCUAAGGCAUCACAGUCAUCUGGUGCAGAACCAUGACUGGAAGUGCUGGGAGCACUGGAAACACUAACUCUAAAAGCAUCUGAACCAGAACCUUUGACUUGCAUAUUUGUGUUUUCUGAUGCUACAUGUGACCGAUCAGAAUGUGGAGAACUCUCAAGCUGAAAAUUCUUCGGAGAAGUAUUUGGGUUGAAACUGACAGAAACCUCUGGAGAGCUAAUAUCUCGUGAAAUACUAACAGAACUGUCACUAGCACUGUUUGGUGUUAAAUCUCUGCCAUCCUGAAAUCAGAAAUUUUCAUGACAAACAAUACACAGCAGCAUAAUUAGGAAACAACAAUGAACUUUGCACUGAAACAAGAAUAUAGCAUCACUAAUGUAAUGAACAAAGAAAACAAGACAGAACUCCAGAGUCAAGAUAGGGUACAGGGAAGGAAAAGAGGAAGAGGAGGAAGUAUGAGGUGAAAAUUAACUAAAGUUUCACUAGGUAUAGAAUUACAUCAAGAUAGAGGCCCCCGUCACUCCAUCCAUCGAUUUUGGAGCGCCCACCUUGACCAGAGAUUAUUAAUGCCUUCAAGCCUGCAAUCCACACCUCCGCCUCAACUUUGUCCUUGCAAAUCUGAAAACAUGACAUAUAAGAUUCACAAUUUAAGCAGAUAAAGAAGAAAAACACAACUUCACAACUUCAUCCUAUACCAGAUCGAGGGACCGCUUCCCGUUGUUGUAUAUAAGAGAAAAUGAUAAAUAGUCCUUUUCAGGGCGGAGAUAUCGUUGAAAAACAGCCUGGUAGCACAUUAAGAGAAAACAAAUAGAACGGGUUUAUAUAGUAUAUACAAGAACAGAAUCAUUAAAUAUACUAUGCUAUGCUAAAAACAUAAAACAGAUAUGAAAGUGAUGGCAAAUCUCACAGUUCUUUGUCCAGGAAUAAUUUUAGAGACCGAGGCUAACUUCAAACUUCUUUCACCACUGCUUGAAAUCCAGAUCAAAGUCGUUUCAUCCUGUGAUUUUUAAACAUAAGAAAAGUAGAGUGUUAAAAAGGGAAGGAUGGGAGAGAGAAGAGAAGAGCGGGCAAUCUGCAUGCUGAAUGACAAGGCCACAGGUUACAUCAUAUUUACCUAAGAAAGAAACAAUCAAACAGUAGAAGACAACACACUAGAUGAGCACAUGUAGAGCAAAUAAGAUGACUUGUAUUAAAGAUGACAUGGGAUUCUUCACGAAACACACUGACCAGUUCAUUAAGUUAUUCACUAAAGGCAAUAUAGAUGCUCACUGAAACACCACGUAUAUAAUCUACUGACCGAUAACAAACUCCAGUGGACAGGGUACACAGGUUUUGGGCAAAACAAUAACGAGCAAUUUGAUGUGCAUCGAAAAAUCCCAUAAAUGAUAUGUUAUAUAUAAUUUUCAUAGUUUAUUACAUAUGCAUGCCAUUGUAUGACCAUAUCUAUACAUCCUCAGAUGAUUAUAAUAAUCAUUAUAAACAGCAGUUCGACUGCAAAUCACACUGAAGAGGAUCAUUUGUUUUAUGAAAAAGUCAUUACCCUAAACAUUUAAAACUGAAAAUGAGUGCAGUAACAACUGAGAGUAUCCUUGGUCAAAUGCACAAGAAUCAAACUUACAUUAGAAAGUCUGAACGGACAAAACUUAGGCUUUCCCUUACGACCAUAUUUCAGAAGUUGAGAACCCUUCUUCAGAGCAAUCAAUGCCUGCAAGAUGCAGAAAGAUAAUUUACUACCAUUGGGAUAAUACCUUUGGUAUGUGGACAUUAUAUUAUUCAGUCAAUCAAAAAAAGAAAAAGGUGUUAAAUUUAGUUCAUUAUUUUAAACAUGUUUUGGCACAACAUGCUUGUUAAGAUUAUCAAGACACCAAAGAUUUCUAAAACGUACAGUUAUCAGAGGCACAUUAUUGCUUGUUAUAAUCAAAACUCGUUAUUGGAUCUGCUUGAAAGAGAUACCAUCCCACACCCCAUCUUAUAAAUUGAUCUUAUCCUUUACAAGUUUGCAAAAAAAAAAAUGAAAUCAACCUGCAAGUAUUGGCAUUGAAAGUAUGGCAAAUUUGGGUCAUUACAUAUGAUGAAAGCUAUUUGUUGAGCGAUCCCAUCAUAAGUCCAAAAAUAAUGGUCAAUAUUGUUCUUGGCAUACCAUAUAGUGUUCUAGUAUUAAGUAGAGGCGUAAGCACUUGUUCCCUCUAAAAUGCACCUAUAAACCCCCACUUCAAUUGCUAAAAAUAGCCAUAGCCAACUAAAAGUUUCAAAAAGAAAAAUGGAUGAAAAUGGUAGUGAAAACAUAAGGCAUUUUAUGGACCGUUAAGACUCUACUCCAGACAUAACCAAAAAGAAAGAAGAUAAAGAAGAACGAUGUAUCCUAUUUUCACUCGGAGAAUGGAUAACUAAAAGCAAGAGAAACAAUUUCCUUUAAUUUCUCCCCCUUUCAAAUAGGCCAACCUUAUUCCAUGCAAAUUUUAAAUUGAAUUCAAAAACCCAAAAAAAAAAAAACCAUCGAAUUAAGCACUUUUUUCUUUCAAAAUUUGUCAAGGUGAAACAAAUUUCCAUCUCAUUUCUCCACGAAUAGAAGAAAAUUACAAAUAAUAUUAACAAUAAAUUCACGCAAAAUUCAAAGGCAUUUCCCACCUAAAUAAAUAGAUAAAACAAAAAAAAAAAAAAUUCAAAAAAGAAUCCCAACCUUGACACUAAUUAAACGCACGCGUGGGUAGAGAGAGAGGAUGGUACCUGCUCGAUGUCACGUUCGGCAUUACCGUAGCUAACAAGAUCUGCCAUUCCAUGUGAAGAUAUUUACGAAAACACAACCUCCCUCUCCGAUCGCUCACCGGAGCUCCGUUCAUCAUAUACCAUCUACUUCCUCUUCACAUCAAUACCCCUCGCUCUCUCUAGCAAAAAAAUCAGCUCUUUACAGAUCUAUAAUUCUCUCGAAAACCACCAAAAAAAUCAAGUCAAAGCCGGUGAUCGUCACUGUUGACUAAGAAGAUUAAAGAGCGAAGAGCGGUUCCCACGGUGAAAGAAGUCGGUUUUGUGGCAGAUUGAGAGGAUUCCGACGAGAGAAAGUGGUGGUGUCGGGGAGAGAAACGGAAGGGAAGAGAGACUCUUCGGUUGUUUUUUUGUAAGAAUAAAUACAAGUACGGAGAGAGUCGAAGCCGAGAUAACAAAUGGGAACUUGUGUUAAAAACUUAAAUUGUUGUUGUGAGAGCAUGAAUUCUCCGGAGAGAAAAAAAAAUAAGAAAGCUAAGCCACCAUUAUUGCCCUUCUUAUUUUAUUUUACAUGGUUAUUAGAAAAGGUCUAUGAUAGUAUUCACAUAUGAAGUAUUACUUCUUCUUUUUUCAUUUUUUACUUUUCUAAAGUACUUGUUUGGUGCAUCAUUUGAAUUAGUUCUUAGAAAGAUCAGUGAGUAGGGGUAUGUUGCCAAGAUUAUUCGUGAAAAUAGUUCUCUUCUUCCCUUGAUUUCUUUCAAGUAAAGUUUGUGUUCAACGUCGUGGGAGUAGUUUGAUUUGUAGGUGGAUUAAUUUGGGUUAAUAUUUAUAAUGAAAUGCUAUAUUUUAUUAUUUUCUAAAAUAAAUUUAUAAAAUAUCAAAUUUUAUUGAUUGUGAUCCAGUCAAAUAAAUUUCAUGGAGUUAAUAUAAUUUCUUGAUUCAAUUUAAAACUUGAUCCAAUUCAAGAUCGUGAAUUAACCUAUAAGACCGAGCUGAGUUGAAUUACAAUGAUUUUAUAUAAAAACUUGAUUUUCCUAGAAAAUAAAACUUAUUAUUCAUACUAUGAUUUAAAAAUAAGUAUAAUUUAUUUGUUAUCAUGAAAGAGGGUUUGAAAUCUAGGUAAUUAUUAUUAUUAUUUCAAAUCUUGGGUAACAUUAAGAGAUUUUUAUUAUUUUGUAAAUUAUAUCUAUUUACAGUACAAUUAAUGUAAUGUAGGUUUUAUUUUUAUUUUUCCAUAAAUAAAAAUUAAAACUUCCAUGCCCCUCCUAUAAAUGGUAAUGAACUUCUUCACAUUUUUUUUCUUUAGAAAAAGAAAGAGGGGGGGGGGCAUAAAGGAAAAGGCGGGGUAGCCAAACAGGUCCUAGUUAUCGGGAGUUGUGAAGAGUUAACGCUCUUGUGUUAUGUUGGACUUUCUGCUUUGAGGCUGAGGGAGGGGGGGGGGGGCGCACGUAGAGGUAGUGGGGUGUAAGGUAACGGACACGCAACACAUUGAGAAGCUUAACGUUUGCCUUGGUACAUUUAAGUGACGAAAAUGCCUAUGAUGGAGAGUGACGUGGUGGUAAAAAAGCGGCGGUAUGUACUUGAGUCCACCGCAAGCGCAGGGGUAGGCUAGGUAACUUCCGUUUCGAUGAAAAAGAAAGCAAGGAUAUUGUGUCGAGCCAUUAAAAGAGAAGUCCUGCAUGGGUCCCAGGAUACGGUGCCGUUUAUGACGCUCAGAUUUUUGGAGACCAACGAGGAGAAUGUAUUGUAUGGCUUAGGCGAAACCAGACGCCUGGAUGUAAUAUCUUGGGGUUUUUAGUGAAUUUGAUAUCUCUCAUGAAAUCUAGGGAAUUAGGAUAAUACACGAUAUUUAGGUUGUAUCUGAAAUCCGAGGUCUUGUAGAUAUGUCCCAUGAGUUGAGAGUUAACGAUUCUUUGUCAGGUGUUAAGAGGGAAUCCGUGUGGUAGUUAGGUUAACAGUGUGUAAUGGAUCGGGUCAUUCGAGGCUUUUGCUUUUAGAUAUUGCCACUGGUUCGAUGUCCGUGUUGAGCCGUAAUUUAACGUUUUAUUUUUAUAAAAAAAUUUGUAAAAAAUUAUAAUAUAAAAAAUAAUAUUUUUUAAUAUUAUUAAUAAUAUUUUUUUAAAAUUUAUUAAUUAUUUUAUUAAUUAUAGUAAAGAUAAUAAUAUUUAUUGCAUAAAUAAUUAUAUUAAAAAUUUCCAUAAUAAUAUUCCUAUAUCAAUACUUUGAGUUAUAAUAAAAAUAAUAAUAUUUUUAACACAGAUAAUACUAUUUUUGAUCUGAACACUUUGAAUUGUAAGAGAAAAAAUAAUAUUUAUAACAUACAUUAUUAUUAUAUUAUCUAACCACUUUUUAGCAACGAAACUCUUUGUUUUUUGUGUUAAAGAGUUUCAAUUGAUGAUAAGAGUUCAAUUGUUACGAGUCAUGGUAAUAAAUGUACCUCAAAAAGGAGCUUAGGUUCUAUUUUGAUUUUUCUGAUUCGGUUAAUUUUUUUUUUUACAUGUGAUCCUAGGUUGUUAGAUAGUUUAUGAUACCUUGUAUGGUUUUUAUUAUGUGUUUUCGAGUAAAAACAUAUUAGGAGAUGGAUUUUCAACUCAAACUCUCCUAAUUUUUCAUAAAAUAAUAAAAUUCAUGAGCUAUAAAUAUAUCAUGAGUUUUUAGAGUUGAAGGUUCACGAUCUCUUCAUUCUCAAUAUUACCCAUAACCUGACUUGCCAUAUACUAUUUGUUAUUAUCACAAUUAUCGAUCACUUGACUUAUUAGGCAUUGUCUACUAUCAUCACAACUACUAAUCAACUAACCUACCAAGUAUCGCUUAUUAUCAACUAUCAACCCUCUAAGCUUUUUACAUAAAAUCAUUAAAUACUUUAAUUAUAUAAAAUAAAUCAAAUUAUUUGAAUUAAGAAAUCAAGUUUUAAAUUAUUUUGAAUUUUAAAACUCGUCAAUAUUCUUGUAUAUUUUCUUCAUUAUAAGUCCUCCGAGUAUACAAAACUGCAAACAAUUGACUUCUAUUUUCACUGUCAAAGAUCUAAAAAAAAGCUUAAAAGCUAUCAACAACUAUAAAGAAAGAAAAAACACGUACACAGGAAUAACAAUAAGAAAAUCACAUUACAAUUCAUCAAAUAAUUAAAUCGUAUACCUGGUUUUUGCUCCAUGCCACUCUUUUCGAGUCAUUUAUUAAUGCUUCUGAUAUCUCUUGCUGAUAAUGAAAAGUGGCAACUUAAUUAUUCAUGAAACUUUAUAAAUUAUCUGUAUAUCUCUAAGAGGCAAUUUAAUAAAAAUUAUUCGUAAAACUUUAUUGUCAUCACGUAUAUGAGAGAAUAUUUUGAAGAAUAUUAUUUCAAUCCUUGACCAUGCCUACAAAAGAGGCUAACACGGUUUUGUUUUGUAAAAUUAUUUUUAAAGAAGCUUUUAUGACAUCCAUACAUGUCAAUAUGUUAUUAAGCUCUAAAAAAUACCUAGAUGUAUAUCAUUCACACAUUCUUGAUUCAGUAUAGAGAUUUUAAAUUUAUUUUGAGAGAAUUACAUUUAGUGUAUAAAUUGCAAUUAUCCACUAUAAUUUGAAAAUUACAAGGUUAAGAAAAAAAUUUAGGUGAGAUAAAAUAACUAAAUUAUCUUAUAUAUAUUAUAUCAAAAGAACCUCGAAUUAAAGCCUAGGAAGAACCCUAAAUUUUAUUCUAAUCUCUCUCUGUUUUUUUUUCUUCACUUCCAUUUGAGAGAAGGAAAACCAGAAUUGAAGUGUCUCAUCAACCGCUUUCCAAGGUUUGCUUAUACCGUGGUUAUUUAUUUUUUUUAGUUUAUUUCCUCUAUUUUUUUUUUAAUCACAAUCUUCUACUCUCCAGGAAACGAUGGCAUAUUAUUUGACAACUGGGACAACAAAAAUUGUCAGCGACAAUACGUUAACCGAGACAUGGAUGGAAAAGCUGGCUUAAUUUUUUUGGCCUACCAAGUGAAACUUUUCACGGAAAAAGCGAGCGAGUAGAGAAAAUGCCGAAGAGAUGGUAUUGUGUGGAGAAACAUUGACUGGUCUCCUGCGUUUCUUUUCCCUAUAGAAUUUACUGGUGUAUUUAUGGUGAGCUGCUGUUUGGCUUUUAACGUAAAUUGUUUUUUAAAAUAUAUUUUUUAUUUUUAAAAAAUUAUUUUUGAUAUCAAUAUUUUAAAAUAUUAAAAAAUAUUAAUUUAAAAUAAAAAAAUAAAAAAAAUUCAAAAACAUUUUACAAACACAAAAACAAACAAAAUAUUCUUCUACUUGGAGUUGAAUGGCGGAAAUCUCUUUUCGGUAACCAAAUACCGUCAAUCUGCACUCUAUACCCUCAAUCAUCAAAUGAAAAUGACGAAUGAAUUUAAGUUCUUUGAUGGUUGCUUAACUUUAUAACAUCUUUACUUAGUCUUCUGGGAUCAUCCUUAGACCAAUCCGCCGGGAUCGAACCAAAGUUCUUCAUCAACUCUCUCUUUUAGGUGAGAUUCAUACCAACAUGUGGGAUUGUAUAGUGAAAAGGAGUCCGGUUGCAGCACUGUUAUUGGCUUUUUUAGAUCCCAUCGAGCUGAACUGUGACACCACUAUUUUUAUUUUUUUAUGACUCUAUAUGUCUGGGUUAGCUUACGCGCACCACAACUAAUUCUAGGGUCUACUGAAUAUCCUGCAAGCUCAGUAAGCGGGUAAGGCACCGCGGGAGUGACAAGCUGGUACUCUUAAGGAUCGAACCCAGGACAUUCACAAAGACAAGCCUUGCAGUUGACCAAUGAACUAGACCCUCAAGUAUUGACACCUAUAUUCUUGUUUUUGUGGGAGGGUGUUGAUUUGAUAUUUAAUAAAGUUUAUAAUUUUUUAUUUUCAAAAUUUUAUUUUUAAUAGCAAUACAGAUAUAAAAACAUAAAAAAAAUUAAUUUUAAUUUUUUAUAUAUAUAAAAAUACUCUAUUCAUAGCUAUAUUGACAGAUCGAAUAAGAUAUACUAAUUUACGUUGUUUUAGAUUACAUAAAUUCGGCCGAUCCAAUGUAUAAGAUCAUAGCUACGUGGACAUCGCUCAUUAGCUUAUCCCCUCCCAAAAUUUAUUCGUUUUCGUUUUCCAAUCGUGAUUGUGCGGCAGAAAAGACGUAAAAGAAUAUUUUUAUUGUGUGAUUUUUUAACAAAAUUUUAUGCCCGUCGUAUCACCAGCUUAUUUAGCAUAAACCAUAUAUUCUGCUUUGGAAUUUCAGUUUCAAAAUACCUUGUUUAAGAAAUAAAAAUAUUAAAAUACUAUAAACCAUACAUUCCUGUAUGGUGAUGUAAAAAGUUAUUUAUACUAUAAACAAUAAAAUGUAACAAUUUAUUGAUAGUUAAUCAAUCUUUCACUUGGAAAUUGGGAUGGUUCAAAAAUUUUAAACAUGGAAAACUUAAUUCAGUAAACAAAUAAAUUUUAUUUAUGUUAUUUAAAAUAUUGUUUAUAUUUUUAAAAAUGAUUAAAUAAUAUACGAGCUAAGAAAACUAAUAAAAACACACGUAAACAAGCCUACACUAAUUUAAGUCGAAAAAGAAAUCUCCAGGUAUAAAGUAUAAACCCUUCUCCUAAAAAUAAAAUAAAAUACAUCCACACAAUUUGAAAAAAGAUUUGAAUCUUUAUUAGAUGUUAACUCGAGGUUUUUGACAAAUUGUUUUAUAUUGACGUGAGUUUAAUUUCAAGAAAAAGAAAAAGAAAAAGAAAAUCACGUCAGAUUGGGUAAUCUACCAGAGUCCAAUCAGCACUUGAUUAUAAAGAGACGAGGAGGCUUGGUAGUCAAGGGAACACCAGAACGGAACAAAAAGUGACAAAACCCGUGUGUGGAUGGAUCGUCUGAUUCCUGGUCAUCUCAAAGCUUUUCGGAAAUCGAGGGAUGGUGACAUUUUUAAUUUAUUUUUAAAAAGCUUAGUGAAGUAUUCCCAUCACUGAUGAAAAGGAUUGGCAUUGCUGUGUGUGCAUUUUCUUUGCUUUUGAGGAGUGGCCAUUUUUAAAAUGACAAGAAACACCCUCUCACUUCUGGUGGGGCUUCUCCCUGUCCGAAGCCGUGUCUUUUUUUUUAUUUGGUAGGUGAGCGACCAUGUUUAUUUGAUGAUGUCUUUCCUGCAUUCUCACAGGACCCACUGUCUGAUUACCGGAGAUUGCCUUUUUAAUUUCUAAGUGGGAAUAGUAUUUGUUUUUUUUAAAUAUAAAAAUAAUAUAAUUUUAUAUUUUUAAAAAAUAUUUUUAACAUCACAAAUUAAAAUAAUUAAAAAAAUAAAACAAUUAAUUUUAAAUAGAAAAAAAAUUCAAAUUCAAACACACGGUAAUUAAAAGGAGAUCGCCUAUUUCUUUCCCUCUUCUUUUUCUUUUUUUCUUUGCGGCGAUUAUUAAUCUUUUUUUCUUACAAAAAGGGUGGAUUAUUUGACGACUAUCUUAGCCGCCUAUUCCGUAGACUUGUUCAAGUUUCCAUCAUUCAAGUUUCCGUCACGUGAUGGGAAGGGAUACACAAUGAAAAUUGGCCAUGGAACGUCGGUCGGUCUCCAUUGGCGUUCCCGUUUCAAGAACUAUCAACUUCUGGAUGUAUUUUACUCACGGCUUGAUAUUGUUGAUGAGAUAUUUUAAAGAUAUAUUUUUUUAGAUAUUUGAAGAGUAAUUAGUAUUAUUUUAUUACUUAUUUUCUAGAUUUUUUUUUUCAAUCAGUAUUAUCAAUCAUCUUGUCGUAUUUCUAUGAAAUAGAUUAUAUUGAACUAUGAAAUGAUAAAUCACGGUGAUGCAUUGUGCAUAAAUUUAUUUGAAUUAAAACACCAAAAAUUACAUAAAUUGAUUGUUAGAUUUUUAGUAGUAAAAUUAACAGCAAUAAAAAUUGACAGAUUGAAAUAUUUUAUUGAUUUAAUAUAAUGUUUAUAGUAAUAUUUAUUUUAUUUUAGAAGUAUAAAAAUUGCUCCAGGUUUUUUUAAAAAAGAACAUAUUUACUGCAAAAAAUAAAUAAAAAGUAAGUUUGAACUCUCCAUCAAGUAACGGGACACCAAAAACAUCUAAUAUAUAUAGGAAGACUUGUUUUGUGAGUUAUCACUAAUCGCUUUGAAAAAGAGUGAUGGUAAGUAUAUAAGGAUUCUAAUACUUCAUUGCCCAACUUUUGACAGCAUUUGGUAAGUUGGAAGACGGAUAGGUAUUAUUUAUUUUUGUGUUUUAAAAAUAUUUAAAUUUGUUUUAUUUUUUUAUUUUAAAUUAAUAUAUUUUUAGUAUUUUAAAAUCAAUUUAAUAUGUUAAUGUUAAAAAUAAUUUUUAAAAAAUUUUUAAAAAAUUAUUUUAAUAUAUUUUUAAAUAAAAAAUAUUUUUAAAAAUAAUUAUAACUACGUAUCUAAACAGGUUAAAAGUGCAAUUCACCUCAUGACAAUCCGUUCUAUCUUCUUCGCCGAUCUCUACCAUGUAGAGUGCAAGCUGCCUACGGCUAUUACUGAUGAACUUGAGAAAAAUUAUCGUGCCUUUAGUUGGGGGAUAGAAGGGUGGUAAUUAAGACGAAAAUGCAUCUUAAUCUUAUUAAUUAGGAGUCUGUCUGUCAACCAAACAGGCGUGAAGGAGCUGGCUGAAAUAUUUAGGCACUAUGAAAGUUGUCAUGUUGAUGAAAUUUGGCUGGGUCUGCUGACUCGAAAAGUAAUUUAUGGGUUGAGGUUUUAAGGAGCAAGUGUAAGGUUUGUGAGGACAUAAUUCCUGCUCUCUAGACUCUUUGCCAGACCGAAUUCGUCUCCUCUAUGGAAAGCUUUGUGCUUCGUUUAGCCUUGUGUUUUGGAAGAUGUUCUCUUGGAUCGGGAUUCGGGUUGAUUCUUGGAUAGAUGCUCUCUUGGAUCGGUUUCGGGUUGAUUCUUGGAUAGAUGGUCUUAUGGACUUUGCUACUGAUCAGGGUAAAUGGAGGCGAAGCUAAUUUGGCAGCUUUCUUCCGUCGUCUAUUCUCAAAUUGAUGAUGAUGAGUUGAUAUGGUAGCCUUCUUCGAAUGGCUGUUUCUCUACUGAAUCUACUUAUGAUAUAGACAAGUAUAGAUGGAAUUAUUCUAAGAAGAUAUGGUCUUUAGUGCGGGGUUGGAAUAGUCCUUUUUAUUUUUUUUAUAUUAAUAUGGUUAUUCGAACAAACUUACGUGUAAAUUUUUUUUAAAUAGACAAAUAUUGCUGCUCUCGUUUUGAUUUCUUUAUGCGAAAUUUAUUUUUUAAAAAUAAUACAUGUUGAUAAAUUUUUUGAAAUAAUGACAUGGAUUGAACAAAUACUUGAGAAACAGUACAAUUUGAACAUAAUUAUAUUUUUGUAUUUGAAUUCUUCAAGUUCCCAUAGACGACAUUAUUUAUAAAGUCUUAAAAAUCUAAGUAGUCUUGAAAUAAUAUUUUCGAGUUAGAUAAUCGAUUAAUUAAUUGAUGUUAAUAAUUUUAUUUAUUUUUAUUGAUCUAGAUAGUUGAUAGCUUAUACUUAGAUUUAUAGCUAGUACUUGUAAGAGAUCUCAUGGGGAUGUAGACUCUUCAAUACUUAAAUAAGCAUUUUUUUAGAGAAAGAAAAAUUAAUAAUAUUAUAGAAAAAAAUACUUUGAAAAUAUAUAUGCAUUAAAAAAUGAAGAUUGUGAAGCUCUUGUUCUGAAGAGUCUUGUGAUAUAUUUAUAGCCCAUGAAUUUUAUUUUUUUUAUAGAGAAAAGAAGCUUGAGUAUAAUUUUAUUUUGUGAUAUUUUAAAUUACAUUAUAAAUUGUAUUUCACUCAUUUUAUCCGGCUAAAAAAGAGAGAAAUGAUGAACCAUGAUUGAUUUAAGCCCACCUAGGGCUAUGUUUGACAUACUACCAAGCCUAAUCGUGAUUAAGUAGUAUUAAAUUUAAAUGUUUUUUUAAUUUUAACCGGUUAAAGAGUCAAUCUUUUUAAUUAUAUAUAAUUAGGUAAAAUUACGAGUUUUUUCCCCAUAAGAAACCGAUUGGAAUGGGAAAGUGUCAAAAAGUUUCAAUCUUCCCACCUUGAGACAGAGCAUGAGAAAUGUUCCAAUGUCCAGGUGGCCUUUACUCCAAUUAAGGACGAAAGUAGUUGAUCAAAGCACAGUAAGGGGCAACUUGGGAUGCCAUCAGCAUUGUUCCUCUCAGUAUCCUAUUGCAAAUUUGACUCUGGCCUCACGAGUAUACACUAUACACACUGCCCAUCGCUAAAUAAUCUGAACUAGCCUUUUCUCUCAGUGGUUGGAAAUUCGGCUUUCAUGUCGGAGGAAGUGCUCAUAUGCAGCAGGAAGGAGCUGUUUAUUUUUACCUUUUAAAAUAUUUUUGAAAAAAAAUAUUUUUUAUUUUAAAUUAAUAUUUUUUUAGUGUUAUUAAAUUAUUUUGAUGUGUUGAUAUUAAAAAUAAUUUUUUAAAAAUAAAUAUAAAAUAAUAUUUUGAUAUAUUUUUUUAAUAAAAUAUACUUAAAAAAAACAACACUUCUAAACAUACUUGAAACCCUUUGUUACGCCACACACAAAAUGUCAAAAUUAGGAGGUUGCUUGCUCUCACUUUUAAGAUAAGUGAUUAGCGUGGGUAAAACAUCGAAUUGAAAUCUCAUAAAGACUACAUUUUCAAUUCGAUAAAAGCAUCUCCUUUGCCCUACAAUUAAUAUUUUACUAAUUUACUCCACCAGUCUAAAUAUAAGCAUAUUUGUGUGUGUUAAUGAUCUCUUGAGUUUCUAUGGCAGCUUACCAAAUCUAACCAUUAAAAUAAAGUUUUUCAUUCAAUCAUGGCCCGUUAAAAUGAAAGAAUUAUCUCGCAUCAAGAGGUUGGUUUCACAGCUCGGCAAUCAUCAAUAAAUUAUGAAAAUAAAUUUCAUCAAUCCCACCUGUGCUUGCAUUGUAAUCUUUGACGUGGUUGGGAAUUAACCACCACGAGCACGUUCGCAUUCAUUUGUUAACCUAAUUUUAUGGCCCUCCAUCAACCAAGUAUGGUUCCAGGACAAAACAGCUUAACAAUAUGUAGUUAGCCCAGUUAAUCAAUCCACUUUAUGUUUUGUUUUUAAGCCACCUGUUGCUUUGUUCUGUACCAGAAGAAAGCAGGUUUUGCCAUGGAAGCGAUCCCAUUUCACCCUCUUUCUCUGUGUCCUGUCACUUACAUUCACAAGCUGCUAAAUUAUUUCCAACAGCUUGAAUAACAAGACAUGGCACCUUAGGCCCAGUUUGGUUGCCAUCAUUUUCUUUUUUUUCAUUAGUUUGUAAACAUUUCUGUUCUGAGAAGACAUUUUGAGACGAAAUGUAAAUAUGAUUGCGAAUCCAAUUCCUCCGUUUCCAUACAAGGGUUAUAUACGGCGACAUCAAAUUUUAGAAAAAAUGUCAAAAGUUGAGAAAGCAUCUCGGUAAUGAUGGGUUGGAUUAGUGAUUAGAAUAAUGGUGCUAAACUAGUAAUGAUGCGCUUAUUAUAGUAGCAACGUGAUAAAGACCUUGAAAGCCGCCUUGUUGCAAUAAUUUUGAUGGGGGCAGUGAGAAUCUUGAGGCGAGUGAGAUGAAGCAUAAAUGAUGAGAAAGGGGAAGUUGAACGAGAGAAGGCUAACUUUGGGGACAAGAAGCCAAAAUUGUAAAGCGAGGGACCGCUCGAUUUCAUACAAUUACACAGCCCCCAUAGCCUGGUCGGCCUCUUGUUUUGCAUAUGGGGCCAUUUGCAUUUUAAGGUACAAUAGAGGGGUUUUAAAAAAAUAUUUAAAAGAGAACAGGAAACACUCGCGAUUUGACUGUUAAUUCUCAUAAUGAAAUGAAUAUUUUGCUCUUCAUAGUAACAACCAUGAAGUGAGAUUUGGAAGGUAAAAUAGUUUUUUUACUGGAUUUAUUUGACACUAUAAAAUUAAUUUGGGGUAAAUCGGUUUAUUUAACUAUCCUUGAAAGCAAGGAACCUAAACUGACGUAUUGAAAAUUUGAAACCUUUUAGUCUUCUCGUUUUUUUCAAAAUACUAAAAUGGGCCUUUUUUUGCAGUGAAAUCCCUCCUCAUCUUGAAGUUAUGAAAUUUAAUAUAAAAAAAUUGUUUGACAUGGCGACCUAAUGUUUCCAAUUAAUCCAAUUCAUACCCCUGCAUUUAUUACGCUCACACACACAGAUAUAAAGUAACGUUUUGUGGAAAAGAAGUCACAGAACGGAUUCCAUUGCCCCCCCCGCUGGAUGGCAAAUGCUGCUAGAGCUUUUUCGACGUGAUUGGAUCUACUUUGCGAUAUCUUUUUCUUCCCCGUGUGAAAGAAGUGCCUGAUUAAUCAACUUUCAUGAAAACAAAUUAUUUUAUUUUAUUUAUCCUUUCUUUUGUUUUUUAUUUAUCCUCCUUCCUUCCUUCCUUCCGGUACUUCCAUUUUAGCCGAUCGAGUUUCCUCCUUCCAUUGUAGCCUGAACCCACACUCGAGUUUCUCUACAGUUGAUUGCUAAUCCUGCAUGGUACUUUAGGAGCACGCAGGCGAGGAGCAUGUUGCAAUCAUAGGCAGAGAAGACAAAAUAUAUUUUCCAGCAGAUUGAACAAAACAAAAUAAAAAAAGGGGGUCGUCAUCCUAUAUGUUAUCAAAGCACUAUCCAGGGCCCGGAAAUUUGUCAUGUCUACAUCAUUCGAAGUAUGAAUACCUUUUCUACUCACUAAUGGAGACCAAAGGGUGUUUUUCUUGCGCUUUUAAGAAGAACAUGGCGCUACCAGUGCCACCCGUCACAGUUAUGGAUAAUGCUUGUAAUCAUUAGUGAUGACAGUGUGACUCGUUAUUCCAUUGUCGAAAAACUUUAACAAUAUCAAGCUAAAACUAACACACUCGCAGUCAUUUUUCCCUUCAUAGGAAAUUAGUGUAAGAGGUAAAUACAAGUUAUCUCACCAACCCAGUUUGUGUAGGAAAUUACUGUUACUUGAAUCAAAUCUAACCGCAAUAACUUACAGCUCUUUUCUCAAAUCACAAGGGAAAUAACGUAGUUUUCAUUUCUCAAGUGCCAUACCUUUUAAAGUACGUAGACAGAUUUAUAUAUAUUAUCUGUGGAGAUAAUUCUCUCUUCCAAUUCUCUCUCAUUUAUUCUAUUAUAAGGUUAAAUAUUUUAUUAACGCAGCCGAACCAUUGCAGAAUUCGGAUUUUGGAGUUGGGUCGUGGUUACAGGCUUGGCGUUUCCCGUGUCCGAUCCUUGCGUUUUUUUCUUCUUUUUUUUUCUAAAUAAAUAAAAAUGCUGGAAAUAUGCAUUCAUGGAAUAUACACUACACAACACAUGCAUAUAGGUGAACUGACCACUCAAACUUGUACGAAUUAUAGGAGCCGAGGUGUUCACGUGGGAAUAGUAAUUAAAUUGUGCACUCACUACUGCAAAGACGAAGGGGAAAAUCUAAUUUCGAAACUACUUGGGAUCCAAUAUAUAUAGAUAGAUAGUCUCCUCUCCUACAUCAAUGGAGAUUCAAGGACCCGUGAAGAAACUACUAGUGAACGGGCCUGGGUAACUUAAAUUCUUGCGUGAGAUGCUGGACAUGCGCAAGUAAACUGGGUAUCGUGAAGGCAUUAAUUUUAAUUUCAUAUUUCUUUCCUUCUUUCUCUUCCUUGUCUUUUUAUUUCUUAAAUGAAUUUGCCAAUUCUCAUACUUCACAAAACAAAUUCACCUGUUUUGUUUUGGAUCUGUUGACUUGGUUUUUUUUUAAUGUUUCCAAAUUAAACGAUUUAAUGAUAUGCCUAAAAUAACAAGGACACCCAACACACUCUUUAAGCUAUCUAUCAAAUUGACAAUGUAUGCUCUUAAAACUUGGGUGGCGCAUAAUAUUGUGUUGAUUUCUGCCUUUUAUAUAGUUUUUUGUCUAAAACAAUAUUAAAUUAAUGAUUUUUAAGUGUGUAUUUUUGAUAAUUUUAAUGUAUUGAUAUAAAAAAUAUUAUUUAAUAUAUUUAAAAUUAAAAUUUAUUUUUAAAAAGCACUCCACGAUAUCAAAUAUUCAUUAAUCAAUCUCCUUUGAUUUUUUUCAAACCAUGGAUUAAAUCUCUUGCCCUUCCACAAAUAACAUCAUCGACGUCCCACUUGAAUUACCUACAUCCAGAUGGCUUCCCACCCUCGUUUUUCAACCGAGAUUGGGAUUUUUAAUAUUAAACUGAGAAUUUCUUAUUAAACAUGUUAAUACCUCUGCUCAUGGGGGACGGAUGACAUGUCAUUUGUUUGCCGAAGUGUCACAUGAUCCUCCUCCACGAUGGACCAGUAAAAUUAUGAGUGUGGCAAGUGAUAUUCUCUUCUAUCCAUGUCAACCUAUUACCUGCUUCAAACACGACACGUGUGAUUCUAAAGUCAAAAUUAACCUUCAUUGUCAUUGACCUCGACCUCUAACCGAAGGAUUUUUAACGUGUAACAGUGCAGAUAAAAAAAAAAAACAAUACUCAAUUGCCGAAAUUGAUAAGUGUUUUCGCCAAAAAUCAUAAAAUACAUAAUAAACAAGUUGUCCUUUAGCGUGAACAAAUGGUUGCAUGUUAAAUUAAAUUAAAUUAAAUCUAUAUAAUUUUGGAAACCACGUGUUAUGUUUCCUGAUGAAAAAAUGCUUUUAAUUUUUUUUUUUUGUUUCAAAUUAAUUAGGGCUAGUGUUUUUAAUUUGUUUUAACAUGCUGAAGUUAAAAAAUAAUUUUAAAAAAUAAAAAAUAUAUUAUUUUAAUGUAUUUCUAAAAAAAACAUUUUAAAAAUCAAUUAUUAUUAUUCUACCAAACACCAUCUCAAAAUGAAUGUGAGAAAGCACACCUUGUAUGCAAUGCCAUUUUCCUGUUAUUUUACCUAUAGCGGAAAACUACAUUUUCCUGGUUAUAUUAACUUUUCUCCAAGUUUCUUUAAUUAGUUAUAGAUCUCAGAUUAUUAUUUCCUUACGUCUUAAGAUUCAAUUUAAUUUUUAAAUAAUUUUAAAAUCAACAUCAAUAAUAAUACAUUACAGUAUAAAAUACUAAAUUGAAGACUUGAAAUCAAUAAAUUAAAGAAGGAAAAACUUUCCCAGAUAUGAAAUAAACUCUGACAUGCAUGCAUGGCAGGAGACACAGAUUCCACAACAUGGAUAAAGUGGAAAAAGAAAUGAAGAAAAGAAAAGGCAAGUUCAGUGUUUGUUUGUGGGAUCGUGUAUGUCGUGUCUACAUCAAAUCCCGACAUGCAGGGGCUAGGUUUCUUGUUCCGACGAGUAAAAUGGUAGCAGAGUAGCAGCGACUCUCUCACACUGUAAAAUACCAAAAGAAACUUGUUAGCUUUGAGUUGGCAACAUCAAUAGGGGGCUUGCAUAUCACUGCUCAUUGCUAGCUUCCAUUUUGUCUCUCAUGGCGAACAAGAUCCAGUGAUGAAAUUAUUAUCAGCGGCAGACCCAUUUUCAGACUUCACUGUAACAUGGAGAUCCUCGUGAUUAACUUAAUAAAAAUAAGGUGUUUAACCGACAUCAAUAUUGUGUGGAUGCUAUUAUAGAUUACCCUUUCUUGACAAAUGAAAGAUUUUUAUCCAUAUCGGUUCUUUUAAUGUAUUUUUUAACAUAAAAAAAUUUAAAAUGUAAAUCGAUCAAAAGUCUAUGAUAACGUCUAGUUAAAUAAACUAAUAAUUAUUUAUGUAAAUAAAUAAAUAAAUAAAUCAUUAACAAUAAACAAAUAAAAAAAUAAAAAAAAUAAAAAAUAAAUACGGAUUAAGAUAUUCAGUCAUACAAAAUGAAACAUUUAUCCAAUUGUGUCUAUUAAAUUUAUUUACUUAAAUUAAUAAAAGAUAAAUCUAUACCCUAAAAAUCUCAUAACAUAAAAGAUAAACAUAAAUAAAAUUGACUAGAUAAACUCGCCCUAAAAACAUUACACAAGGCCGAAUACGUCAUCAAUAUUAUUUACAAACAAAUAUUUUUUAUUUUAAAAAAUAAUUUUUAUUUGUAUAAAACAAAAAAUAUAUAAAUCAAUUAGAAUAAUAUCUUAAAAAAAUCAGCAAACAAACAAACAAACAAUUCUAAAAAUAAUCAUAUUAAAAAAAUGGCAUGCAAAACACGUUACUUGAAUCAUGAGACCGGAACAAAUCCAUAGAAAAAAAUUCAAGAUCAUCACAAAACCAAUAUUUUCUUAAAAAGAAAAAAAAUAUAUAGAAUUAUUAGAUCGUACGAAGCCAAAUAUCCAACAAAUCAAAUGUCAAAAGAUUAAAUUAUAAAAAAUAAAUCCAAUUACAUAAAAGCAUUCAAAAAAAAUUAAAGGUGAAAAAACAAUUCAUUAAAGGGCAAAUAAAGAUUUUAUUUGACCAGUUCUUUGCAGCAGGCCGUAAAUUUAUUUUUAAGAAAUUAAAAUAGAAACCAAAAGGUGUAAAUCAAAUUUAUUUGACGAGUUCUCGAGUAUAUAGAUAUUUUGAUAUGUUUUUUUAGGUAAUAAAAUUUUAAGUGUAAAUAAAAAAGUCUACCCAAAAAUCUAAUAAUUAUAUAUAUAGAUAAAAAAAUCAUGAAUAAUAAUUAAAAUAGAAAGUGAAAAUAAAAUAAAAAAUAGAUGUGGAUUAAGAUAUUUGAUCUCGCAAAUGAAGACAUUUACCCACUUGUAUCAAUUGAACUUGUUUAGUAAAAUCAAUAAAAGAUCAUGAAAAUAAAAACACAUAUGAAAUCAUGUGAAUAAAAUAAAAAAUACAAAACAAAAUAAAUAACAAUUAGAAGAAUUGUAAAUGAAUUCAAUAUAAAAAUUAUCUGAAAUUAAAUGUUUUGUGAAAAAUGAAAUGAAAUUAAAUGUUCUGAGAUAGAAUUGAAAAAAAAUAAUAAUUAAAAAAAUGAAUAACAAAAUAGAAAUUAAAAGAAUUAUUAGGGAUGAGAUGAAAAUAAAUCAAUGUAAUUGAAACAAUUCCACCUAAGAGAAAAUGGAUUGAAUAAAAAGAAAAAGGAAAUUGGAGGCUGGUUUGAUUUUUGCAUGGUCGGCACGCAACCCGAAUAUAAAAAAAAAGGAAAAUAAAGAAAGAAAAAAGAAAAUUAGUGUCAAACCCAACACAACCCAACCGAACCACCAUAUAUGUGCUGCUAAGAGAGGAAAAUGAUGUCGAAACCAAUCAAAUAAUGUGAUGGGAGCACAAUUAAAACCAUUGAAGUCAACCAAAUGCGUUGCCCGAAGGUGAUGGAGCUUCUAAUGCAUCUGGGUACGCAUUAACAACUAUAAUUUUUUUUGUACAAAAUAAAAAAUGCUUUUAUAACUAAAUAAUAAUAAUAAUAAAUAAAUUAUUAUGAAAUUACAACCAAGCCCCUAAAACCAAAGCUGAAAACAUUGGAUGUGAAGGGUAAUGGAAUAGUUAUAUUAUAAAAUAACUAAAGGCCCUUAACCAAAAGUUAUGACUAUUUACUUUUCAAUUUCAAUAUCCUAAUUUUAUUGUUAAGAUCAAUGUAAAAUUCUACAAUGCCUCUUAUUACCUUAUAAAAUAACAAAUAAAUUAAUAGAAAAAAAAAACACCACCCCAUCCUAAACCUUAGAGCUGCAAAAUUCUACCUUUCAAGUCCACGAUAUAAUGAAUUUAUUAUGUCUUGGUUCUGAAUGCAUAUGCAAUAAAAGUAUCACAAAGUUUAGAUCUUGUCUCGAAACACGGUUCAAAUUGUGUUGUAUCAAAUUUUGAGAUUUUGUUUUUACAUAAAAUUAUUAUUUUUUAACUUUUGAGAUAUAAUUUUUAAAAUUUUUUUUAAAAAUAUUUUGAUGCAUUUCUGAAAAAAGAUAAUCCAAAUUUACAAGUAAUACUUAAUAAUAUUUGGUCAAGUAAGGCCCGGCCAUAACACAUGCAGCGGGCUAUUGGGAUAGUCGGCCCGAAUUUACAAUCGUUGGGCCCAUAGGUAAGAUUAAUGAUCCACGUUCCCCCACCAGACAGAGAAACCUAGUGAAUAAUAAAAAACAAAACAAAACAAAAAGAAAGACAGACGAAGUUAAUUCUGUUUCUUUUUUCUCUCCCCCUUGAGACCAAUUGUAGGGUUUUGCCAAAAAUCUCAAAACUCCAAAGAAAUCCAAGCCAAAACCUACCCUGUCUGAUUAAGAAAACCACAAGAAUUCUUCUCUUUCUUACUUUCUGCCCAUUAACAAUGACAGACGGUUACUGGAAUCGGCAACAGCCUUCCAAUGUCCCUUCCAGCGGCAUGCUAAAACGACCUCGUUCCGACUACGGUACGUUCUGCUCUCCCUUCCUUUUGUUAAAUGCAAAAUUUAGAGUGCCAGAUUAGGAUUACUGUAUCUUUUUGUUGGAAUUAGAUCCAUAAAUUACUGUUACAAUGAAGUAUGUUGGAACUAUUGGUCGAUUUAAAAAAAAAAAAUUAAUAGAGGCGGUGCCUGCUGUUGCUACUGCUUGGUUGUCUGGUUCGAUAAUUUGUAUAUUUUUGAGAAGUAAGAUGUGGAUAGAAGUCUCAACGGAUUUGAUUUUGGGGGUCUUGCAGAUAUGCCUUCAAGCUAUGAGAUGCAGAACUACUAUCCGCGAGAUGUUGAUGAUGAUCGCACUAGGUAUGAAACUGUCAAGGACAGUAAGACUAUAGGAUCAGCAUAUGACCGCUACCUUCAGAAUGCGGUAUGGUUCUUUUCAAACCCUAUAUAUUGCUGUUUUGUUACCCCCCUGUGUAUUUGCUGAUCUACUCGUCCUUUUUUGUGAAGCAAGCUCCUACGUUUGCUUCUAGAGAAGCCAGUGCAUUGGGAGGAGCUGGGUUUGGAAGGGGUAUUGGUGGUGGAAUGAGUGGUCUUCCGAUAGCUGAUUCUGCUGUAAUGACUCGCCCUCGGUCUGCUGGUCUAGACCUGGCAUCGAAUGGUAGAGAUGUUGGUUUUGUUCGUCAGCGACCAGAGGAUAGAAUUGCUAGGUCAGAUCGUGAAAUGGCACAUCUACCUCCAGAUGCUUCCAACACUUUAUAUGUUGAAGGAUUUCCUCCUGACUGCUCAAGGAGGGAAGUAGCUCGUAUCCUUUUAAUGUCGUAGUGAUGUUGCACAAUAAUGAUACCCUUUGUCUUGCUCUUUUUAUUAGUUACCAAGGCUUUCUUUCCAACUAUGUUUUAUGUUCCUUUACUGGAUGUGAUAGAUAUAUUUCGACCUUUUGUGGGAUAUAAAGAAGUUAGACUUGUGAGCAAAGAAGCAAGACAAGUAAGUAGAUGAGUUAGAGUACUUUCUCAUACUUGGUUUAGUAAUCUGAUGCUCAAACUGGCUUUUUGGAAAGUGUGACUAGUCUUUCAUUGAAUGCAGCGUGGUGGAGAUCCUAUCAUCCUUUGUUUUGUUGAUUUUGUAAAUCCAGAAUGUGCAGCAACUGCGAUGAGUGCCUUGCAAGGUGAUGAUUUUGCCUUUUUAUCUAUCUAUAGUGAAACCGAUGCUAGGGGUUGGAGGCUUUCUUAAUACAAUGAUGUUUGCUGCUAUUGUACUUUACACUGUUGUAUAUGGGUUUGCGUGUGUAAGACUCACCUUAUUAACAUUUUUUUUCUGCUGUUCACCAAUUUACAUAUUCCUAUUACUAAGUUGGUUCUGAAGAAAUUCUUGCAUGAGAAUGAUAUGUACCAUGGCUUUGCUUUUUUUCUCCUUCCUGUAGAUGGGUUGGGGGGGGGGGCACUUUUCACCAUCCAUCUUGCCACAAUAAGAAUUGGAAUUGCAAAUAAAAGUCAUUCCAUGAUAGUAAUUUACUCAUACUUGUUUGAAAUGUCUGGAGAUGCUAACUACAUGGAUGUAAUCUGCAGGUUAUAAAGUUGAUGAACAUGAUCCUGAUUCUAGGUAUUUGAGGCUGCAGUUUUCUCGACACCCAGGCCCAAGAUCUGGCCCUAUAAGCCGUGGAAGGAGGUGAAAAUACUUGUUGCAGAAACACCUAGCUUUCAAUGCAAAACAGUUUCUUAGUUUGCAUUCAUCCACCUUUUCAGAGUGUUUAUUUAACAAUCUAUAAUCUAGAACUUGCAAGCUAGAUUGCUCAUCCUGGCUGUACUAGUUAUGUAUAAUCUUGAUCUACCAAAAUAAUGAGGGUUCAAUUAAUUGCAGGAAAUGACUUGGUAGUUUACCGAUUUUAUUUAGCAGAAAAUGUUGUGUGAUGAUUGUUGAAUCUCAAGUCAUUUACCUUUGGUGUUGGGAGUUAUUUUCUAGCGAUUUGUUUCUAAUAUUUGGAAUGUUUAAAUUCUUGGCUUUCGCUUUAUGAUUCCAUGUAAUCCUUGUGUGGUGCAAUUGAUUGAAGAUCCUUCUGGGGAUAAUUUAAGCGCGCUACUCGCGUGACAAAAGAUGAAUAGUAUUCAAUUAGGAAAUGCUUUAACUAAAUUUUUUUUUUUUUUUUAAAUAAUUGUUGAACUUUAGAACUUCUAGAGACUUGCAUGAAUGUGGUUUCCGGUUUCAUGGUUGCUAAUUUGCUGUGUUUUUACGAUAAAUGCAUUGUUUGCUGGGAAGUUGCAACCAUUGCAUAGCUACCCUAUAUUGUUGCUGCAGUCGUUUGGGUAAGUUUAAGCAUCUUUUUUUUUUUGGGUAAAGCUAUUUACUGUUUGUACUCUUCUUUUUAUGUUUGUUGAUCUGCCGCCCCUUGCUUUGGAGAAGCUCGUCUAGCAAGUUGUGGAAGAGAGAUCUUUUCUGUUUGUGUUUCAUCUUUCUUUAUGUUUAUCUGCAUGACAGACUGAUGAACUUUGUUGAUCUGUUCGUUUGGAACUGCAUCGAUCGGCAUUGCAUUAUAGGUUCGCUAUCUUUCCUUGGACAGUUAAGCACACGCUUUUUCGCCUUCCUGUCUCCACUGUCACUUCGCUUCAUUGAUUAGCAUUUUGCAUCCGGCACUCAUGGAAUGAUUCAGAACUGAUACCUUGUGAUGCUCGGACUCCUAUGGCUUUCCCCAAGUACCUUUGGUGUCUACAUGGGUACGACUCCUCCAGAACUCUGAACACGGCAGUUUUGGUUUUCAGAUACCAGUGCCGUCGUGGCAUUUUGUGUGUUUUAAUGUCCACGACGUAGAUGAAAAAAGGAGGAACGAGAAGAAGAAACAACUGGCCACAAAAUUUUUAACGCCAUCCAGUUGGAUUAAUACAUCUAAAACCUUAUUGAAAUGAAUAUGGGCUUACUUGUAGAAUUAAUUGGGUCAUGAAUUAAUGAUAUUUGGAGUGGGAAUUGUGGGCUAGCUAAAUAGCUUCAUAUCAAGAAAAAGUACUGGUCUCCAAGAAUUUUCUGUAUAUUUUGUGCGAAGUGAAAUAAUCUCGCUCCCGCAUCCAAAAUUUAAAUAAUUCCAAGCUGUCUCUUGUAAAAUCUUAAAUUUGAGAAGUCCAAAUAUCUGAUAUACGUAUAUGAGUCCGAGCAAUAUAACUUACACAGCCAACGCCUUCAUCAGGAUUAUUGACCACUUGCUCGUUAACAAAAAUUACAAGACAUUUUUUUACAAGUACCAUAGCACUAUGGAUAUGGAUCACAAUGGUGCUAUGUUUAUUUUUCUUCUCCAAAUUUUAUUUUUUAUUUCAUCCUUUCCAGGAUCAAAUUGAUGGCCGAUUUAAUUCAAUUUGUUUAGAGAGGGUAAAAUUCUAAGAUAGAGGAUUAAAAUAGAGGAAAAAACAUAGAAAAUGGGUGGCUGUUUCUAAAUUGCAUGAAAAGUUCACUUUGAUCCUCUUACUUUUCCAAUUAAUUUUUAUUUUGUUCCUUUGGUUUUUUAUUUUUUUUUAAUCAAGAUUUCAUUUUCAUUAUUCUUCAAUCCUCCGUUUGAGAGUGAAGAGAGAGUCGCUAGAUUUCAGUUAAAGAGAAAAUCUUGAUUAACAUUGAUUUUCACAAUGAAAAAACUUUAAUAUUUGUGUUAGCGAAUUUCAUUUGACAAAAAAAGUUUUGGGGUGUUUUUAGAAUUCACAUCGCUUGGAAUGAUAGAUAUGAGUUUGAAAAGAUUUUUAAAUUUUGAUUGAUUUUAAACCAAUUUUAAGGUUAUUCAAGGUCAUAAAUUGAUUUAUCAAUGUCGUAUAGUAUGUUUUUCAGGUGUUUUUGAGUUAAAGUAGAUUGAAAAUCAAAUUUUUAGAUGAAAAAAUAUUCAUGGCCUGACUUUCCAAUGAUCCUCUAGUAGUUGAAACUAGACCUGCAAAUAAUACAUUAUUUACACCAUUUUUUAUAAACAAAUUAAGGGCGCAUGGCGCGCCCUUUGCCCUUUAGUAUAAGAAAAUUAAAAGGACUGGCACACAAGGCAUGUUUUUUUUUUUUUGAUAGGCCAUGCAUGUAUGGCAACGCCCUGCCUGGCCUAUUUCGUUUGUUUUUUUUUCCCCUCUUAUUCUUCCCUCUAAAUUUUACAUUUUAAUCAAUUUAAAUAGAAUGACUAAAAAAUAAUUUAAAAUUUUUUAUUGAAUACCAUUGAAAUUCUAUUUUUUUAUGAAUAACUCUUUUUUUUAUAUUAGCAAACGUUUCUUUUUACAACUCUUCAUGAUUAUUUUAGAUUUUAUUCUAUCACUAUUUUCUUUCUUGUUUGAUUAAAGACUAUUUGACUCAAAUGAAAAAUAUUUCUUUUAUAACAUUUUUUUUAAUAUUAUCCCAUGUUUUUGCAGCCCUUCAUAAUGCUUUUGGCUCCCAAUAAUUUUUUUUACUCAUAAUGAAAAAUUAAAAAUUAUUGCUAACGAAAUACGUUGCUAAUGGUUAUAUUUCUUUUUAGCUAUCCGAUCUACGAACCGAGCCAAUGUACUAGUCCAUCUCUAUUUCAUGUUUGUAAAUUCCAAAAUUUCAACUCAAUUGCAAGUCCCAGUCCCCACUCAGGGCCUGUGUUCAACUAAGCAAUGGAACCCAUUACCCAAAUAUUGCCGAUUAUGCCUCCCAGGCCCAUCCUCGUUUAUCGGGAUCCAAUAAACCGACGUACAAAAUACAGAGGUCUGCAUGCUGGAAGGAGAGGCCAGGAAGGAAAAAAUAAAAUUGGUUUGCGUUUUUUUUUCUGAGCCGACAAUUAAUUAUCACCCUCGGGUUUGUAUUAGUGUAUGCAAGGAGACAUAAUCCACUUUCCAGAUAACGUUAAUGUGGUUUAGGAUUUGGGUAUGUUGGGAAUUUAGUUAAUUAAUCAAAUUAAUCCAUCUAGUGAAGGUGUAUUCCCAGCUAUUUGCCUAGCCAGGCAUUAUCUAAACCUUCCAAUUAAUCCUCGGCCCCCAAAGCAUGUUUGGUAAGAGCUAGUAUUACAAAUACAAUAUGUUAGGAAUUAAGUGUUUUUUUUUUGUCUUUGAAUAAUGAAUAAUGAAUAAUUAUAUUAUCAUGUCAAUAUUUUAUUCUCCAGAUUUAAGGGGGUGGGUGGAUGAUUGGCAGUAGUUUGGUGGGGUUUAGAGAUCUUUAAAUAAUAAAAUCAGUACAAUAAAUAAAAGAAAAAAUCUUAAAAUCCAAAUGGAUAUAGAUACAAUCAAUCCCUUCCCAGUUCCCACCGAUUAAUGAUUUAUCACCCUUGCCUUUACAAUGAAUCAUGCUCAAAAAGCGCCAAAAUACGUAUCCAUCAGUAACAAAACAAAGACACGUUUCCAUGUAUGCAUUGAAUCUUCAUUUUUCAAAAGCAUAUGCCUAACCAGGUGUUAAAUCUGUUGAUUAAUCAAAAAUAUUAUCUUAAAUGUGUUACAUCAAUGGAUAAGUUUUCUUUCCUUGCGAGAGAAAAACGAGAGCGAUUAAAUUGGUUUCAUGUCAUGACAGGACCGUAUCUCUGUUCGAACUCUGGUGGUUAAACCUAAACGGGUGAAUGGAAAUCAGAUAAAGAGAAUCAAUCCAUUAAUUGUUCUUUCGUGAUCACUUUACGUGUCUGCCUACAAGGCGACGUACGUCUCUAUGCGAAGAAGAAAUUACAAAGAAGGAGAAACAGUAUGCUUAAUUAUUUGUUCGUUUCUUAUUCUAUUUUUAGAGGGUACAGUAGCAACCUGGUUCCAUCAUGCAGUCUAUUUUUACAGAAGAAGAAGAGUCUCGUUAUAGAAGAUGAUAGCUCUUUUCAUUGGUAAAAGUUCUUUUAAAAGCUUAUAAAGGAAAAUAAUUUUCUCAAAAACACUAGAUUUUUUUCUCCUUCUGUGGUGCUUAUCUACGCUUGAUUCUAUGCAUGCCCUUUUCUUCUUCUUGUUUUUCUUUUUGGGAGCAAUCUAUGGCAAGUGGUUGUAUUAUUUCACUGGUUUAGAACAAUGCAAUUGAAAUAUAUCAAGUCCUGUAUCGAGAAGUUUGAACUGCUAUGUCUAUCAGCAAUAAAAAGGAGCCUCACUGGCAAAUUAUGGCGAACCAGGCCAGAAACUGAUCCCCAUUAAGUUAAGUUAUGGACUCAAUUGCUCACAAAGUCACAAUCGAUCGCUUUCAUGUUGAACUACAGGGUGAUCGUAAUUAUUACUAUUAUAACUAUAUUAUGACGAUGAACGCAUUAGUUGAAAUAAUUCAAGGUAUUUGAUUAAUUAAUUGGCAAUUAACACUUUCAUAGAGUUUAAUUUCCACGACCCUUUGGUGCGAAUCUGGAAUUUUGGAGUCUGAACAUAAUUAGGUUUCAAGAUAGACUCCAGGCUGUUUUGAUUAGGUUCAGCGAACAAUAGACAAUGAUUAGGUUAAUGAAUUGGUAUAGUUUUUCUUCUUUUUUUCACGGUCAUAAUGGCCUCAAUAACGAGAUAGUCAUGGUUUAGGUAAUGUGCUGUGAAUCAUUAACAAUUUCGAUAUAUUUACAGGCUGCAGGGAUAAGAUCAUCAAAUUGCUUUCUUUGAAAAUGAAACCCGUUAAAGUCUAGACUUUAUCCUCAAGAGAAAGAAAAUAGGAGAAGAAGAAAACUCUUGGCAUAGAAGGCAUUUAUCAUACUAUGAACACAAGAAACGUGCUCUGUUGGUAUUUUAAAAUAAAAAAGACAGGAAGACAUUUAAUUGCAGGGAUAGUAGAGAUAAAAAUAUCAAAAUAAAUAUUUUUUUGAAAUAAUUUUGUAGUAUAUAUCCCUUUCAUCUUAAUUUUCUUUAUCUCUUUUAUAUAAAAAUAAUAAUAACUAAACACAAUUUAAACAUGAUUAUUGUUUUUUUAUAAGCCAAUAAUCAUAUUAUGAUACAGCUGCUGGAAACAAGAGCAUAAAGGCAGAUAAGAAAACCCCUGCGUCCUGUACAAUGAAGAUCCCAGGUUGUGCAGAAAUGGAGAAAUGUACAAUCAUUUUAGCUUCAGGAAAAGUAAAUUGGGUGUUUUAUAAUAUAUAGGUGUAUCGUGAUAUAAUGAAAGUUGUUUUUUGAAAUAUUUUUUUAUUUAAAAAUAUAUUAUAAUAAUAUUUUUUUUAUUUUAAAAAAUUAGUUUUGAUAGUAAUAUAUUAAAAUUUACUUAACUAUUUGAAAACGUAAUACAAAAAAUUAGCUUGUUUAGAAGUAUAAUUAUGGUUUUUUUUUUUCAAAUGUUUUUUAUUUAGAAAUAUAUUAAAAUAAAAUUUUUUAUUUUUUAAAAAUAAUUUUUGACAGUAGGGAUUAAAAUGAUCCAAAACAUUAAAAAUUUAUUAAUUUAAAAUAAAAAAUAAAAAAAAUUAAUUUUUUAAAUAUUUUUAAAAUAAAAAAUAAACAUGGCUUUUCGUCUUCCCAUAACACGAACGUACAUUUCGAACUUUUAUUUAUUUCUUUAUUCACAAAACGUCAUGCGCUCCAUUUCUCCGCCACAGGCGUUAGUUCUGUCUUUCACCAACUCUUCCGUACAGAUCUGUUGUUUACUUGCUCAAAGGCACGUGAGAUGAAGUCGUGGAGAUUGAUAACUUUCUUCGCAAAUAACCAUCACACAUGUAUCCGCCCCCCUCUAAUUCACGCAUCUUUUAAACGUAAACAAAAUAUAUUUUCUGCAUUUAUUCUUUUAAAAUAUUUUAGUCAGUUUAUUUUGCAUAAAAAAAAUUAUAUUUGUUUAUAAAAAGUAUUUUUUUAUAUUGAUUUCUCUUAAAAUAUUUUACAGAAAAAAUAAUCAAUAAAAAAUAUUUUAUAAUCUAUUUUCAAACAUGAUUUAUUUUCGUAAAAAUAAUUUUAGUUUAUAAAAUAUUUUACAAAUAAUAUUUUACUUAUAAUAUCAUUUAAUUAUUCUUAUCAUCGUCAACACCACUAUCUCUUCCUUGUCCACAAGCUUCCCAUUCAUCGUUGUUAUCAUUUUUGUUUUCCACCAUUACUAUUAUUUCAUCACCACAAUCACUAUCUUCUUUUCCUUUACUAUCAUUAAAAAAAAUAUUUUAUAAGAUAUUAUUUUUGAAAAAUAAAUAUUGAAAAAUAUUUUAUGCUGAAGGGUGUUAUGGAUAUAUAGAAGAACAAUAAUAUUGCAUCUUCUUGUUAUAUGAGAGAUAAAAUUAAUUGAAAGGAGUCUUUAUUAUUCAUUUUGGUCUCCAGUUAAAAGUGUUAUAAUUGCGAAUUAAUCUAAUCCGAAGUUAAUAUUUUUUUUCUUCUUGAUUAGCUAGACUUUUAAACGUAAACAAAAUAUAUUUUUCUGCAUUUAUUCUUUUAAAAUAUUUUAGUCAAUUUAUUUUGCAUAAAAAUUUUUAUAUUUGUUUAUAAAAAGUAUUUUUUUAUAUUGAUUUCUCUUAAAAUAUUUUACAGAAAAAAUAAUCAAUAAAAAAUAUUUUAUAAUCUUCUUUCAAACAUGAUUUAUUUUCAUAAAAAUAAUUUUAGUUUAUAAAAUAUUUUACAAAUAAUAUUUUACUUAUAAUAUCAUUUAAUUAUUCUUAUCACCGUCAACACCACUAUCUCUUCCUUCUCCACAACCUUCCCAUUCAUCAUUGUUAUCAUUUUUGUUUUCCACCAUUACUAUUAUUUCAUCACCACAAUCACUAUCUUCUUUUCCUUUACUAUCAUUAAAAAAAAUAUUUUAUAAGAUAUUACUUUUGAAAAAUAAAUAUUGAAAAAUAUUUUAUGCUGAAGGGUGUUAUGGAUAUAUAGAAGAACAAUAAUAUUGCAUCUUCUUGUUAUAUGAGAGAUAAAAUUAAUUGAAAGGAGUCUUUAUUAUUCAUUUUGAUCUCCAGUUAAAAGUGUUAUAAUUGCGAAUUAAUCUAAUCCGAAGUUAAUACUUUUUUUCUUCUUGAUUAGCUAGACUUUUAAACGUAAACAAAAUAUAUUUUCUGCAUUUAUUCUUUUAAAAUAUUUUAGUCAAUUUAUUUUGCAUAAAAAUUUUUAUAUUUGUCUAUAAAAAGUAUUUUUUUUAUAUUGAUUUCUCUUAAAAUAUUUUACAGAAAAAAUAAUCAAUAAAAAUAUUUUAUAAUCUGUUUUCAAACGAUUUAUUUUUUGUAAAAAUAAUUUUAAUUUAUAAAAUAUUUUACAAAUAAUAUUUUACUUAUAAUAUCAUUUAAUUAUUCUUAUCACCAUCAACACCACUAUCUCUUCCUUCUCCACAACCUUCCCAUUCAUCAUUAUUAUCAUUUUUUUUUCCACCAUUACUAUUAUUUCAUCACCACAAUCACUACUUUUCCUUUACUAUCAUUAAAAAAUAUAUUUUAUAAGAUAUUAUUUUUGAAAAAUAAAUAUUGAAAAAUAUUUUAUGCUGAAGGGUGUUAUGGGUAUAUAAAAGAGCAAUAAUAUUGAAUCUUGUUGUUAUCUGAGAGAUCAAAUUAAUUGAAAGAAGUCUUUAUCAUUCACUUUGGUCUCCAGUUAAAAGUAUUAUAAUUGCGAAUUAAUCUAAUCCAAAGUUAAUAAUUUUUUUUUCUUGAUUAAUUAGCAUUGCUUAAGUAUAUAUUUCAAGUGGUAUAUUUAAGAGUCGGUGAUUAAAAUAAUUCAACUAGCUAGGGAACUGAACGUGACUAAUCAAAUCUACAACUGGUCAUAGCAAGAAUUUUAAAUUGGGUUACAGUUUGGUAGCACAUUAAUCCAAAAGGGAUUUUACCUUUGCAUAUAUAUAUAUAUAUAUAUAUAUAUAUAUAUAUAUAUAUAUAUAUAUUGAAAGCAAUGGUAUUAUAAAUGACUUUUAGGUGAAUUGAAAUUAAAAGCGUGUUUGGAAACGUGAUUAUGGUUAUUUUUUAAAGUAUUUUUUAUUUAGAAAUAUAUUAAAAUAAUAUUUUUUUUAAAAAAAAUAUUUUUGAUAUUAGCAUAUUAAAAUAAUCAAAAAAUAUCAAAAAAUAUUAAAUUGAAGUAGAUAAAAAAAUAAUUUUUUUUAAUUUUAAAAAAAAUAAAAAACAAACUUACCUGAUAAAUACCAUACACCAAGACAUGGAUUACAAAAAUAAAAUGAUUAUGUUUUUUUUUUUUUAAAGAAACCAACAACCUUGCUAUAAGAUGCAAUAAGGUAUUUUUUGCUUUUGGCAAGAUUAUACUGGUAUCACAGUCAAAUUGUAUAUUUAAUAUGUUAAUUAAGGUGGAUUUGAGUUGAGUUUUUUUGGUUAUCAUUGUUUUUCACUUUAUUUACCAUAUGUUAUAUUUUUUAUUUAUAUUAUUAAAUUAAUUGAGUAGAUUAAAUACGUUAAUAAUUCAAAUUCAAUUUUUUUUUUUUUGCUUUUUCUAAAACGAUUGCAUCACCUUAAUAUUUUUUUUAGGCUAAAAAAAACUGAGGCGGCAAACGAUACAGCAUGAACUAUCUAGUAAUUUCUAAGCUCAUUAAAGGCAUGCAAAAAUCAAAAUGUGGAGACAGCUUAGACUGGAGAAAGUACUUUUUUUUUUACUUCCAACUAUGAGAGAGAGGGAGGGAGGGAGGGAGAGGGAGGGAGAUAACGUAGCCGCCUGGUCCCUCAGCGAGAAGAAAAAAAAAGUCAGAGAAGUUAGGCCAUUUUUUUUUUCUUUUUUAUAGCUAGCUUCUGGCUGAGAAAUUGAUUUAGAAGUUACAUUGGCUAAAAAACAAAGGACAUAUGGAUAUAGUACAAUUAUAAGACUAUAUUCAAGAUUAGUUUGGUUCUAGAUCUGAGUCACGUAUCAGUGGUUACACUCUGUCUUUUUCUUUUUCUUUUUUAAUAGAAAAACUAAAACUACAUUGUUUUGAUAAAAAAAAACAUGUCUUUCCGUUUACUCAUGAAUUAGGUGAAGUCCCGAGCUAGCUAGUCAUCAUGAAUUAGGUGGUAAAUUAUCUGGUUGGUCCGCAGACCAAGCCAAUGUACGUAGUCUUCACAAUAAUUAAACAAAAUCUAUUCACAGUAACAUUGUUUCAAGUGAACACAUAUAGUACUUGAAUUAGUUAUUCAAUUUCCAUACCUUUCACCAAGGUUAUAAACUUCUCCAAAGUAUAUUUUACCAUGAUUGGUUUGCUGCUACGUGUUCAAGGGCAAAAACCAAAUCUAUAUAAAGAGAAGCGAGGGUUGCCUAAGAAGCAGAACAAGAUCUAUUCUGUAGUGAAGUUUGCAAAAAUGGGGUCUCCAAUGGCCUCUCUCCUUGCCACUCUUUUAGUGGCAACAAUCUCUCUCAGCUUGCCAUCAGAAAGCACAGCAGACUACAAGUACUCCUCUCCUCCACCUCCUAAGAAAUCCCCUCCACCACCACCUCCUCCUUAUCACUACAAAUCCCCACCACCUCCUCCUCCAGUGCAUUCUCCGCCACCACCAGUGCACCCUUACAAGUACAAGUCACCACCACUUCCUCCACCAGUGCACAAGCCUCCACCUACACCACCAACGCACCCUUACAAGUACAAGUCUCCACCGCCUCCUCCAGUGCAUUCUCCACCACCACCAGUGCACCCUUACAAGUACAAGUCACCACCACUUCCUCUACCAGUGCAUAAGCCACCAACGCACCCUUACAAAUACAAGUCCCCACCACCUCCUCCACCUUCACCACCAACGCACCCUUACAAGUAUAAGUCCCCACCACCUCCACCAGUGCACAAGCCUCCACCUUCACCAACGCACCCUUACAAGUACAAGUCUCCCCCACCACCUCCAGUUUACAAGUCCCCUCCACCACCUCCUCCAGUUUACAAGUCGCCACCUCCUCCUCCUCACAAGAAGCCAUACAAAUAUAAAUCUCCACCACCUCCUACUCCAGUUUACAAGUACAAGUCUCCUCCACCACCACCACCAGUACACAAGUCUCCACCACCACCUCAUUACAUUUAUGCAUCACCCCCUCCACCUCACCAUUACUAGAUCAUGGCGCUCAUAGUUUCAAGGUACAUGCACGUACGAUUAUUUUGACAAUGCCAAGUAUAUAUAUCUUAAUUAAUAAGUCUCUGAAAACAUAAUGUCAGGUCAAAAUAUUUCAGUGCAGCAUUGCAUUGAAUUAAUUGAUUACUAAGUUUUUUUUUUUCACACAAAUUAAUAUUUAUCGUUUAAAGAUGCACCGGUACUGACAGAUCCAAUGUAUAUGUUUUUACAGGUAAAUGGAAGAGUAUCAUGCAAUAAGGAAAAGGAUGCGAGCAGGAGCUAGCCUUGCAAGGAAGGAAAGGAUAGCUAAUGCGUAUAACGGAGCAAUCUGUGUUUUAUUUAGAAGAUGAAUAAAAAUACAUGUAGUAGAAUUUCCUCAUUUUCAUGUACUAUUACAGAGGUCUGGUACCGGUGAUCGGUUUGCUUAUUUGGUCUGUCGAAAAGUAGCUUAUAUAUAUGUAUGUAUGUGAUUUGAAACCUUUUGUGUGCUGUUGCGUGCAUGGUUGUUUUCAUAUGAAGUGGUAAGAUUAAUAAAAUAAUCUUUAACCAAAACAGAAGGUUACGCUUCACUUCUUUUUAUUAGCAUAUUUUUAUUUUAGUCACCGCGCGCAGUUUCGUUUAAGUGUAACAAACAUCUACUACUUUGUAAAACCGGCAUGCUUGACUAGCUAGCCAGUACAGAAAGAAGAGCUAGCUAGUAUCCUUGGUAGCUAGCUAGCCAGUACGAAACCGUUAAUUUCCCCAGGACCCUUGGUAGAAUUCUUGAACAGUUAAUGGACUCGCCUAGGCGCCGUUAGGUACGCGGUGGAGUUAUUUUUGGUUCUUUAGCUGGACAUCUGACGAGCAUUUUCUGGAUAUAAAUUAGAUUCAUCCAGCUUGCUAUUAUUCUGAUCACUUGUUUCAGUUACGUAUAUAUAUGUUGCUAAAUAUAUAGUCUUUCUGCAGUAGCUUUUCAUUUUUCAUAACAAGAUCUCUUGCCAGCAAUUCCCCGCUACUAAUUGACAACAAAUUAAUAUUUAUGUUAUCCUAGACUUGCAUUCAGUAAUAAGAAUCUCGGUAUAGUGAUUUUCUUUUCUUUUCUUUUUAUAUGUAGUGUGAACGUUGCCAAAAUAUGAAUGGAAAGAUGUGGAAAAUAUUUAAUAAAUAAAACCAGUGAUUUAGUUCUAGAAAGUCCGCACUGAAGGAAUUAAAAUGUCAAAACUGGGAAGCGCAAAGGACAAAUUUUGCGCACACUCUUCUCUAUAUGCGUUCACAUGCUAUUUGAUAUAUAAUGCAAGAGCAAGCUUUCUAUAGUCAUUAUCUUUUUUGGUAAUCAAGACAAGAUGAAAGGGGGUAAGCUGGAAAGGCAAGUGCUGUCUAGCUAGCUAGUAAAGCAACCAUUAGUAGUCUUCCUUGUUUGCAACUUGCAACUUGCAACAGCCCCAAUCACGGAAAGAUAAAAACGGAUAUUCGUCCACACAGGGAGAAGUUUUGCAAUCUACUGAUUCUUAUCUGAUGCCUACAUCAUGUCUUGCUUCUAGUUAAUUAAUGGCAUAUAUCACCCUGAAUUUUAAUUUUGUCUUCUAAUUAAUGCUCUUCAUCGCAAAUACUCUGUUUAGUAAUGCUAUCAAGUGCUAACAUGUUGCUUUUACAUUAAUAUAGAUGUGUACAUAUCUUUCUUUUCUAUGAGCUAUGAGCCUUUCUUCGAUUUCUGAAAUGCAGUACUAAGUAACCUAAUGCCCUAUGGUCUUAUUUCGUAUCACUAAAAUCGGCUAAAACUGCAGGUUAAUUUCUAAAGAGGCAUGCAUGCCAUAAUUUCAAGAGCAAUAAAAAUCGACCCCUUAAUUACACCAGUAAAACACUACAUGCAUGUCACUGAAGUUGAAGAUCAUGACAGAUCAUUGAUGGUAUCAGCCAUUAUCAUUCAGCUAGAUAUAUAGUACAGUGAGAUUUCCUUUUAUUUCUGCUCUCUCGCACAGCUAUGCAUAUAAUAUUGACAUCUUUAUUUUAGGUUUAGUUUCUUGGCAUUGAUCUGCAGCGUAGAUUCAGCUAUCUCUGUUCUGUAUACAUUAUGCUUUGCAACAACGUAAUUAUUCAUAAGCGAUACAUAUUGAAAGAACUAUGGAUUGCACGAUAACCAUAAGCUAAACUGAAAGGGAGAGUGAAUCAUGCCAUGAAUCAAACUGUCUAUUUUAAAAUUUUACUUAAUUGUUUGAAAAUGCAAUACCAAAAACUAUUAUGUUUGAAAGUGUGGUUAUAUUGUUUUUCCAAGUGUUUUCUUAAAAAUAUAUUAAAAUAAUAUUUUUAAUUUUAAAAAAUAAUUUUUGAUAUUAGCGAAUUAAAAUAAUUUAAAAAUAUAAAAAAUAUAUAAAUUUAAAAUAAAAAAAUAUAUUUAUUUAUUUUUCAAAUAUUUUUAAAAUACAAAAAUUAACAUGGUUUCGUCUUCCCAUAACACGAACGUACAUUUCGAACUUUUAUUUAUUUUUGUAUUCACAAAACGUCAUGCGCUCCAUUUCUCCUCCACAGGCGUUAGUUCUGUCUUUCACCAGCUCUGCCGUACAGAUCUAGUGUUUACUUGCUCAAAGGCACGUGAGAUGAAGUCGUGGAGAUUAAUAACUUUCCUCGCAAAGAACCAUCACACUUGUAUCCGGCCCGGUCUAAUUCACGCAUCUUUGAAACGUAAACAAACAAUAUUUUCUGCAUUUAUUCUUUUAAAAUAUUUUAGUCAAUCUAUUUUGCAUAAAAAAAUAUUUUUUUAUAUUUUUUUAUCUUCAAAUAUUUUACAGAAAAAAUAAUUUAUAAAAAAUAAUUUAUAAUCAGUUUUCAAACAUGAUUUGUUUUCUAAAUAAUAAUUAUAGUUUAUAAAAUUCUAUAAAAUAUUUUACAAGUAAUAAUUUACUUAUUAUAUCAUUUAAUUAUUUUUACCACCACUUCUUCCUUCUCCACAACCUUCCCAUUCAUUAUUAUUAUAACUUUUUUUUUCCACCAUUAUUAUUAUUUCAUCACUACAAUCACUAUCUUCUUUUCCUUUAUUAUCAUUAAAAAAAUAUUUUAUAAGAAAUUAUUUUUUAAAAAUAAAUAUUGAAAAAUAUUUUAUGCUGAAGGGUGUUAUUGGUACAUAGAAGAAGAAUAAUAAUAUUGCAUCUUGUUGUUAUCUGAAAGAUAAAAUUAAUUGAAAGGUAUCUUUAUCAUUCAUUUUGAUCUCUAGUUAAAAGUAUUAUAAUUGCGAGUUAAUCUAAUCCGAAGUUAAUGCUUUUUUUCUUGAUUAGCUAGCAUUGCUUACGUAUUUGGAGUCGUAUAUUUAAGAGUCGGUGAUUAAAAUAAUUCAACUAGCUAGAGAACUGAACGUGACUAAUCAAAUCUUGAACAUGGUCAUAGCAAGAAUUUUAAAUUGGGUUACAGUUUGGUAACACGUUAAUCCAGAAGGGAUUUUACCUUUGCAUAUAUAUAUAUAUAUAUAUAUAGAAAGCAAUGAUAUUAGAAAUGACUUUUAGGUGAAUUGAAAGUAAAAAUAUGUUUGGAAAUGUAAUUGUGAUUGUUUUUUAAAGUAUUUUUUUAUUUAAAAAUAUAUUAAAAUAAUUUUUUUAUAAUUAUUUUUUAUAUCAACGUACUAAAAUGAUUUUAAAAUAUUAAAAAAUAUAUUAAAUUGAAGUAAAUAAAAUAAAAUUUUAAUUAUUUUUAAAAUACAAAUACAAACAAGAUUUGAGUACAAAUAUAAACUGAUAGAAAAAAAACACUGUAUGUUUAUUCUAUGGGUAGCUAUUGUCAUGUGAAAUUUUUGUUUUAAAAAAAUCUUCUACUAUACACCAAUACAUGGAUUACAAAAAUAAAAUGAUAAUGUUUUUUUUUUUUUUUUUAAGAAACCAACAACCUGGUAUAAGAUGUAAUAAGGUAUUUUUUUGCUUUUGGCAAGAUUAUAGUGGUAUCACAGUCAAAUUGUUUAUUUAAUAUGUUAAUUAGGGUGGAUUUGAGUUGAGUUUUUUUGUUAUCAUUGUUUUUCAUUUUUUUACCAUUGUUAUAUUUUUUAUUUAUAUUAUUAAAUUAAUUGAAUUUAUUAAAUACGUUAAUAAUUCAAAUUCAUUUUUUUUUUGCUUUUUCUAAAAUGACUGCAUCACCUUAAUAUUUUUUUUAGGCUAAAAGAAACUGAGGCGGCAAACGAUACAGCGUGAAGUACCUAUCUAGUAAUUUCCAAGCUCAUUAAAGGCAUGCAAAAAUCAAAAUAUGGAGACAGAUUAGACUGGAGAAAGUACUUUUUUUUUUUUACUAGAGAGAGUAGCCGCCUGGUCCCUCAGUGAGAAGAAAAAAAAAGUCAGAGAAGUUAGGCCAUUUUUUUUUUCCUUUUUUAUAGCUAGCUUCUGGUUGAGAAAUUGAUUUAGAAGUUACAAUGGCUAAAAAACAAAGGACAUAUGGAUAUAGUACAACUAUAAGACUAUAUUCAAGAUUAAUUUGGUUCUAGAUAGUCAUGUAUCAGUGGUUACACUCUGUCUUUUUCUAAAAUAAUAAAAAAAACUAAAACUACAUUGUUUUUACAAAAAAAACAUGUCUUUCCGUUUACUUGUGAAUUAGGUGAAGUCCCGAGCUAGCUAGUCAUCAAGAGUUAACCUUUUUUUCUGAGGCGGUAAAUUAUCUGGUUGGUCCGCAGACCAAGCCAAUGUACGUAGUCUUCACAAUAAUUAAACAAAAUCUAUUCACAGUAACAUUGUUUCAAGUGAACACAUAUAGUACAUGAAUUACUUAUUCUAUUUCCACACCUUUCACUAAGGUUAUAAACUUCUCCAAAGUAUAUUUUACCAUGAUUGGUUUGCUACGUGUUCAAGGGUAAAAACCAAAUCUAUAUAAAGAGAAGCGAGGGUUGCCUAAUAGAAGCAGAACAAGAUCUCUUUUGUAGUGAAGUCGGCAAAAAUGGGGUCUCCAAUGGCCUUUCUCCUUGCCACUCUCUUAGUGGCAACAAUCUCUCUCAGCUUGCCAUCAGAAAGCACAGCAGACUACAAGUACUCCUCUCCUCCACCUCCUAAGAAAUCCCCUCCACCACCACUUCCUCCUUAUCACUACAAAUCCCCACCACCUCCUCCUCCAGUGCAUUCCCCACCACCACCAGUGCACCCUUACAAGUACAAGUCACCACCACCUCCUCCACCAGUGCACAAGCCUCCACCUUCACCACCAACGCAUCCUUACAAGUACAAGUCCCCACCACCUCCUCCACCAGUGCACAAGCCUCCACCUUCACCACCAACGCACCCUUACAAGUACAACCACCUCCUCCAGUGCAUUCUCCACCACCACCACACGCACCUUACAAGUACAAGUCUCCACCGCCUCCUCCAGUGCAUUCUCCACCCCCUCCUCCAUCGCCAGUUUACAAGUACAAGUCUCCCCCACCACCUCCGCCAGUUCACAAAUCACCACCCCUACCACCCAAGAAGCCCUACAAGUAUAAGUCUCCCCCACCACCUCCACCAGUUCACAAGUCACCACCCUACCACCCAAGAAACCCUACAAGUAUAAGUCUCCACCGCCUCCUCCAGUGCAUUCUCCACCCCCUCCUCCAUCGCCAGUUUACAAGUACAAGUCUCCCCCCACCUCCGCCAGUUCACAAGUCACCACCCUAUCACCCAAGAAGCCUACAAGUAUAGUCUCCCCCCACCUCCCAGUUCACAAGUCACCACCCCUACCACCCAAGAAACCCUACAAGUAUAAGUCUCCCCCACCACCUCCAGUUUACAAGUCCCCUCCACCACCUCCUCCAGUUUACAAGUCGCCACCUCCUCCUCCUCACAAGAAGCCAUACAAAUAUAAAUCUCCUCCUCCAGUUUACAGUCGCCACCUCUCUCCUCACAAGAAGCCAUACAAAUAUAAUCUCCACCGCCUCCUACUCCAGUUUACAAGUACAAGUUCCUCACCACCACCAGUACAAGUCUCCCACCACUCAUUACAUUUACGCAUCACCCCCUCCACCUCACCAUUACUAGAUCAUGGCGCUCAUAGUUUCAAGGUACAUGCACGUACGAUUAUUUUGACAAUGCCAAGUAUAUAUAUCUUAAUUAAUAAGUCUCUGAAAACAUAAUGUCAGGUCAAAAUAUUUCAGUGCAGCAUUGCAUUGAAUUAAUUGAUUACUAUGUUUUUUUUUCCACACAAAUUAAUAUUUAUCGUUUAAAGAUGCACCAGUACUGACAGAGAUCCAAUGUAUAUGUUUUUACAGGUA